CGAUGAUGUAGCUGAUGUUGAACAACUACAAAGUUUAGCUGCAAAGCGUGAUUGGUUUGGUCUAGGCAGCAGGAUUCUAAUAACAACGAGAGAUAAACAGUUGUUGGUGGCACAUGAAGUGGGUGAAGAGCAUAUUCUUAACCUUGACGUACUAAAUGACAAUGAAGCUCUUCAACUCUUUAGUAUGAAAGCUUUUAAAAGCCAUCAGCCAGUGGAAGAAUAUGUGGAGCUGUCUAAACGUGUUCUGAACUAUGCCAGUGGUCUUCCAUUAGCUCUAAAAGUUUUGGGAUCCUUUCUUAUUGGUAGAUCUGUGGAUCAAUGGAGAAGUGCCCUGGAGAGACUAAAAAGAGAUCCCUCAAAUAAGAUUAUGAGUAUACUUCAAAUAAGUUUUGAUGGACUACAAGAUUCUGAGAAGAAAAUAUUUCUCGAUGUUGCAUGCUUCUUUAAACAGAAAAAUAGAGAUUACGUAACAAAAAUUCUAGAGGGAUGUGGUUUUUUCCCAGUCAUUGGAAUAGAAGUUCUUAUUGAAAGAUCUCUAUUAACAGUUGACGACUACAACACACUGGGGUUUUAGUAUUCAUGAUUCAACACUUUUUUCAAUUACAAUAGUAGUACUAUUAAUGAAUUAAUAUUUGCAAAUGAAGAUUUAAAUUAUUGUAUUUUGAACUUUUGAAGACUAUAUAAUAUGUUGUGAUGCUUUGUCCUCUAUUAAUCAGAUUUAAAAAAAAAAAGAAACUUUAUUCUUUGAUUGACUCUUUGCUAAAUACUAAUAAGAGCAACGAACACCAAUGAUAUAUCAAUAUCAUUGCAUAUUUAGCUAAUCUAAUUAAUUUCAUGUGUGUAAUAAUGAUCUUAUCAAAAACUUAUCUAAAAUCUCUUUCAAUCUAAUUUAUCAUGUUAUAGAAAGAAAUAAUAUAUCAAUAAUGAAUGAAAAAAAACUGCAGAAGAAAUUAAAUAAUUUUUGAACCCUCAAAUCCCAAUGCAACACAAUCCAUACCAUGUUUAUUGUGUCGAGUUUGAAUUUUCUCAUUCCAAUUGCUUUUGACUUAACUAUAGCAGGUUACUUAAUUAUAUGACUUCAAUUUGAUGAAAUGAUAUUGCAAAGUUUGGAUUUUAUACAUAAUAUGAAAUUGAUUUGCUACUACUUCACACUAGCUUUACCACACCAAUAUUUUCUUGUUGCUUUCAAUAUGCAGAAAUGAGUCAGAAUUUAUUGAGGAAAUUGUCAAUGUGAUAUCAAGUAAAAUUCAUACAGAGCCAAAGACUGUUAAGGAGUUGGUAGGAAUAGAAUCACGCUUGGAGAAACUCAGGUUUCUUAUGGGUACAGGGUCUACUGAUGUUCGUAUGAUAGGGAUAUGGGGUAUGGGAGGUCUGGGAAAGACAACUCUUGCAAGAGUUGUUUAUGACUUGAUCUCUCAUGAAUUUUAUGCGAGUAGUUUCCUUGCCGAUGUUAGAGAAAGAUUUGAAAAAGAAGGCAGUGUAAUCUCUUUACAAAAGCAACUCCUUUCCAAUUUACUGAAUCUUGGAGAUAUUAACAUAUGGCAUGUAGAUGAUGGUAUUAACAUAAUUGGAAGUAGGCUGCGACAGCAAAAGGUUCUUCUUAUAAUCGAUGAUGUAGCUGAUGUUGAACAACUACAAAGUUUAGCUGCAAAGCGUGAUUGGUUUGGUCUAGGCAGCAGGAUUCUAAUAACAACGAGAGAUAAACAGUUGUUAGUGGCACAUGAAGUGGAUGAAGAGCAUAUUCUUAACCUUGAUGUACUAAAUGACGAUGAAGCUCUUCAACUCUUUAGUAUGAAAGCUUUUAAAAGCCAUCAGCCAGUGGAAGAAUAUGUGGAGCUGUCUAAACGUGUUCUGAACUAUGCCAGUGGUCUUCCAUUAGCUCUAAAAGUUUUGGGAUCCUUUCUUAUUGGUAGAUCUGUGGAUCAAUGGAGAAGUGCCCUGGAGAGACUAAAAAGAGAUCCCUCAAAUAAGAUUAUGAGUAUACUUCAAAUAAGUUUUGAUGGACUACAAGAUUCUGAGAAGAAAAUAUUUCUCGAUGUUGCAUGCUUCUUUAAACAGAAAAAUAGAGAUUACGUAACAAAAAUUCUAGAGGGAUGUGGUUUUUUCCCAGUCAUUGGAAUAGAAGUUCUUAUUGAAAGAUCUCUAUUAACAGUUGACGACUACAACACACUGGGGAUGCAUGAUUUGUUACAGGAAUUGGGACAACUGAUUGUUACAAGACAAUCCCCCGAAGAACCUGGGAAACGCAGCAGAUUAUGGAGGCAAGAAGAAGUGCGCCAUGUGUUGACAAAAAAUGCGGUAAGUGAAUUAUUAAAUGGAGAACAUGUUGUGCUCAUUAAUUUCCUUUACCCUGAUGAAUUUUAAAAUUAUUGUUUUAUUUGCUUAUCCUUUGCUUAUGUUUUCAGGGAAGUGAAGUAGUUGAAGGAAUGAUAAUUGAUGUUCAUUUCUUUCUUAAAAAUGAGGUGCGUUUAAGUGCUAAAGCAUUUUCGCUGAUGACCAACCUAAGAUUUCUCAAUAUUGGUAAUGUGCAACUUCCUGAAGGCCUUGAAUACCUAUCUAACAAGUUGCGGUUACUUAAUUGGCAUCGAUAUCCUUUGAAAUCAUUGCCAUCAAAUUUGCAAUUGGAUAAAAUUGUUGAAUUUCAAAUGUGUUACAGCCACAUUGAAGAAUUAUGGAAAGGAAUCAAAGUAAGAUCAGUGUUUUUGUCACUAAUUUAUUUUUUUAGUGAAUAAUUGUUGAUAACAAUUUUAUUAUUAUAACUGUAUAUGAAUUAAGAAAUAUCAUUUUAACUCCCUUUUGUUUUCAACAGCCUUUAAACACGUUGAAAGUCAUGAAGCUCAGCCAUUCAGAGAACCUGAUAAAGACCCCAAACUUCAUAGAGGUCCCCAACUUAGAGGUGUUGGAUCUUAAAGGAUGUACAAGUUUGCGUGAAAUUCACUCGUCUUUGCUACGUCACAAUAAGCUGAUCUUGUUGAAUUUGAAAGGUUGUACAAGUCUUACAACUCUUCCGGGUGAGAUUUUUAUGAAAUCUCUUAAAACACUUGUUCUUUCUGGUUGCUUGAAAUUGAGGAAAUUUCCACACGUUGGGGGAAGUAUGGAGUGUCUGCAGGAACUUUUUUUGGAUGAAACUAAUAUCAAAGAAAUGCCACUAUCAAUUGAACAUCUAUCCGGACUUGUUCAAUUGACUUUGAAAGACUGCAAAAAUCUCUCGAGUCUGCCGGUUACUAUUAGCAGUUUAAAAUGUCUAAGAACUCUAAAGCUAUCUGGUUGCUCGAAAUUGAAAAAGUUUCCAGCGAUUGUGGCAAGUAUGGAAGACCUGUCCGAGCUCUAUCUGGAUGGAACUUACAUUACAGAAGUGCCAUCAUCUAUUGAACUUUUGACCGGACUGGAAUUGUUGAAUUUGAAUGACUGCAAAAAUCUCGUGAGACUUCCCAACAGUAUAAAUGGUUUGAAAUCACUCAAAACUUUGAAUCUCUCAGGCUGCUGCAAACUUGAAAAUGUGCCUGACACGCUUGGGCAAGUAGAAAGUUUGGAAGAACUUGAUAUAAGCGGAACAGCUACAAGACGACCUCCAUCCUCCAUUUUUCUUAUGAAGAAUCUUAAAACACUCUCUUUUUCUGGGUGCAAUGGACCACCAUCAACUGCAUCAUGUCAUUUGAACCUUCCUUUUAAUUUGAUGAGAAAGAGUUCAUGUCCUGUAGCUUUGAUGUUGCCUUCUCUGUCAGGUUUGUGCUCUUUAUCUAAAUUAGAUCUCAGUGACUGUGGUCUAAGGGAAGGAGCAAUCUUGAGUGAUAUUUGCAACUUACACUCAUUAAAAGAGUUGUAUCUGAGUGGAAACAAUUUUGUUACGCUGCCAGCAAGCAUUAGCGGUCUCUUUAAUCUUAAAUAUCUAGAGUUGGAAGAUUGUAAAAGGCUUCAAUCUCUGCCACAACUUCCACCCAACGUAAUCAAAGUUAGUGUGAAUGGUUGUGCAUCGUUGUUGACAUUAUUAGGUGCAUUAAAACUACGCAAGUCCAGCUGGACGACAAUUUAUUGUAUAGACAGCUUGAAAUUGCUCGAAAAGAACGAUUUGGCAAUUUCAAUGCUACGAGAGCACCUUGAGGUCAGUCUCUUACUCCGUAUCUUACAACUAUGCUAAGAUUAUGCUUGGCAAUUAAGCAACGGUAUGGACUUGUUCAUUUUUUAUUUUUCAGUUGCAGGCAGUGUCAGAUUCAGACCGUAACUUGAGCAUUGUUGUCCCAGGAAGUGAAAUUCCAAAGUGGUUCAUGUAUCAGAAUGAGGGUUCUUCAAUAACAGUCACAAGGCCUUCAUAUUUGUAUAAUGUGAAUAAGGUCGUGGGGUAUGCUGUUUGCUGUGUUUUUCAUGUCCCCAAGCAUUCAACUGGUAUCACAGGAUGGAGGGGGCGUUCAGAUCCCAUAUAUAUGUUGGACUGCUCUAUGGAUGGUUCUAAUGGCAGGCAUGUUAUAGAGUUUAGAGAGAAAUUUGGUCAUCGUGGGUCUGACCAUCUUUGGCUACUCUUUUUGUCUCGAUAUAAACACUAUAAGAACAAUUGGCUUUUUGAAUCUCAUCAUUUUAAGUUGUCGUUUACUGAUGGUCUAGUGUUAAACCUUCUGACUGGGUCAGGUACUGGAUUGAAGGUGAAGAGGUGUGGCUUCCAUCCAGUUUAUAAACAAAAAGUCGAGGAGUUUGACGAAACAACAAAGCAAUGGACUCACUUUACUUCUUAUAAUCUGAAUCAAUUCCAUUGCGAUUUUGUUGGAUCAAAUAUGGAAGUAGCCACAACAUCAAAGCUAAGCCUUGCAGAAAAUGCCGGGGCAGCUGAGGCCAGUGGCAGUGGCUGCUGUGAUGAUGAUUAGGAACCACUCCCCUAAAAGAUUUAGACAACUUAAAUGAAGGGCAAAGCCUAGUAUAACAGUGUAAGUACGCAUUCCAAUUUCAAUUUAUGUUCUUUAAAUUUGCACAUGGUAUUUCAUUUUACUUUUUAUUUAUUCUAAUCUUGCAAUUUAUUUUCACGUUAAAUUACUAAAAAUGCUCGACUUGGAUUCAAAAGUUGGUCAGAAUCAGAAUGUUGCUCGACCAAAUUGAAGCUUUGAAUUUUGUGAUUUCUCAUCAGUUGAAAAUUACAGAAAGUGGGAAAAUCCGUUUUCGUUUUCUUACCUGUAUCUCUGUUUCAUUGCAGUGUUCUCUCAUUUUGUAUCCAUUAUUACAAGUGCGAGUUUCCUUUUCGCUUUAAUUUAAUGUUUCUCCCAUGAUGUGGCCAUAUGUAGCCAAACCCGAUACCUAAUCGAAGUCGGUGAUUCCAACCCCUCUCUACUCCCUAUAGAAAUGGCAGCCACAAUCUCCGCUUCAGCUUGUUCCGUCCCCUAAACACUCAUUUGUCCCCAACGACGUCGUUUCAAGAAACAAACGACAAAUCAUGUCGGGAAACUCCAACUCCGGCUGCAACGUCUACAUAGGUAAAAAUAACCUCUCAAAUCUCAGUUCUAUCAUCAAUUUUUCCAAAAUCGAUUUCUAAAUUUUCUUUUUUGUUAUUAAUUUAAUUGAAUUUAAUUAAUAUUAUUAUAGGUAAUUUGGAUGAGAAAGUGAACGAGAGAGUGCUUUACGAUAUUCUAAUUCAAGCAGGGCGAGUAGUUGAUUUAUAUAUACCUCGAGACAAGGAAACUGACAAACCAAAAGGCUUCGCCUUUGUUGAAUAUGAAUCCGAAGAGAUCGGCCACUAUGCCAUUAAGCUUUUUUCCGGCAUUGUCACUCUCUACAAUCGAACCCUCAGAUUUGCUGUACGUAACCUUUUUUUCUUUUUUUUUAUAUUUGUAUAGUUUCAUUAAGUUUUGGCUGAAAUGCAAAUAGACCCAAUUUCUUUAGCUUUGGGAUAAUAACAUCCAGUCCCUUAGUUUUCUUAAAAUCACGGGUAAAUGUCACACUUUGCUAUUUUUUUUCGUUUGGGUCCUCAGUGAAAACAAUGAUUUCACGGUUAUUAUACUCAGCUUAUCUAGAGACAUUUCACAUUUGCUUCAAUGUUUUGAGGAGUAUAACAUUAUACUUGCAAGUAGGUUGAUAUACAGUUGAUACGGCAGUUAUCCACUGGGAUAUCCGAAUUUUGCAUAUGUAGUGUUACUCCUGUUAAAAUUUGGUAGACGGUUCCAACAAUUGUUAAAAAGGAUUUUUGUGUUAAUUGUUAAGGUUUUAGAGAAUUUCUGGAGAAUUUUGAGGUUAAUUAAAUGUUUUAAACAAACAGUGAAAUCAUGUUUAUAAUGUCCCACUUGAAGCUUUUUGGAUUGACAUAGACUUUGAUGAACAGCUUUCUGGGCAAGACAAAAACGCGCAAAACUCAUCCAUGACAACUACCCCUUUGUCAUCUCGUAAAUCUAGGAGCGAUCCAGUACCCAUGCCAGUUAACGGUAUGGAAAUUUCUCACCAUUCGAUGAGGAUUUCAGUUCCCCGUCAUUAUUCUUCCGAAGGUGAUGUCUUUCUUCCUUUUUCUUCUGUACAGUGUUUUUUGAUAGUAUUUGUUUUCUUGCUUUGCUGAGAAACCUUCUUUUUGAUACAGAGCCGCCUCCCCCUGGUGUAACACUUGAAACUAAUGGGUAUGAGACACAUCUCAAUGUUACCAAUUAUGAUUACAGUCGAAGGGUUUUUGGGGCAACAUUGGAUAGUAUUAGUCGCUCUAGAUCUGGCCACUAUAAUAGUAGUAAUCGACAUUACUGAUGCUUAUCAUGUCACUUAGUCAAAAAGAACUCUUUUUCAUGUAAAGUAAAAGUGUGGUACAUUGUUAUGGUUAAGGUAAGAUAAGCUUGUUUCAGUUUCUAACUAGUUCCCGUAGGUGUGUCAACCCAUGGCUGGACUUGAGAAAGCUGUACUUAAUUUUUUAUCGUAAAAAAUUGUUUGUUGUUUUAAUUGUAAAAGUAGCAUCUGUCAUUAUUCUGGACUUUGAAACCUGAUAGGAGGCAGUUAUUUAUUUUUAACACUUGUCCUGCAAUUAAUUGAAAUGUCUUUUUGAUUGUUGAUAUAGUUAAAUUAAUUUUAUCAUGUUGCUGCGGUAUUGGUUUGUAGACUUAUUAUUAUUAUUAUUUGGGAAUGAACAGGAAAACUGAUGAUUUAUGUAUUUGUGUUUAUUAUAUAUAUGUUUAUUUGUGUGCUUUCAUACAUGAAUAACCCCAAUCUUAAUUUGUAAACUUCUCCUGACUUCUUCUUUAUAAAUAGUAAUAUAUCUAUAGAAGUUUCUUCGUUGCUAAAGUAGUUGAUAUCUGGUUGAGAUUGAGAUUGAGAUCUGACUUACUUGAUAAUGUGGAAGAUUAUAAACAUAUAGUAAACAUGCAAAUAUUCAAGUAAACUGAAAAGGGUUAGUCAGGUAUCUUGAUUGGUUUAGUUCAUAAUUUCCUGAUUUACUCCCAGGGACUGUUGGAGAGGGACUUCCUUUGAUUUGUAGAUGUCAAAUUUGGGGUCCCCAUCAAAUCAGAGUCUGCAAGAUAUAUUUUGUAUGUCCAAUACUUUUUGCUUGAUGCUCUGAUCGAACCUUUAAUUAAUUAAUUAAUUUAUUUAUUCUGAGCUCAGUGCUGCUUUUACUUGCUUGCUCAAGUAAAUAUUUAUCACUUUGCUAUUGGUCACUUAUUUUUACUUUUAAUUUGGGCUGUUUUUGUGAAUUUCAUUCGAUUCUGAGUUUUUUCAAUGAGAAGUUGUUUUUCGUUAAGUUAUUGGCUGAUUUUUGGGCCAAAACAUUGUUUUUGCUUUAGACAGUUGUUGCUAUCCCUCUACCUGAUCUGGGAUGCAGUGGGAAGAAUUAUAUUGGUUUGAACCCAUCCUGCUCCUUUCUGGCAUUUUUUAUAUUUAUGACACUGACCAAAUUUUGGGUGGAUUCAAAGGAAAUUCUGUGAAUUUAGAAGUUCUUUAGAGUGCCUUGUUAUCACAUUAGGGGAGCGAUACCCAUGCCAGUUAACGGUAUGGAACUUUCUCACCAUUCGAUGAGGAUUUUAGGUCCCCGUCAUUAUUCUUCCGAAGGUGAUGUCUUUCUUCCUUUUUCUUCUGUACAGUGUUUAGAUAGUAUUUGUUUUCUUGCUUUGCUGAGAAACCUUCUUUUUGAUUCAGAGCCGCCUCCUCCUGGUGUAACACUUGAAAUUAAUGGGUAUGAGACACGUCUCAAUGUUACCAAUUAUGAUUACAGUCGAAGGGUUUUUGGGGCAACAUUGGAUAGUAUUAGUCGCUCUAGAUCUGGCCGCUAUAAUAGUAGUAAUAGACAUUACUGAUGCUUAUCUUGUAUCAUAGAAAAUUGUUUGUUGUUUUAAUUGUAAAAGUAGCAUAUCUGUCAUUGUUCUGGACUGUGAAACCUGAUAAGAGGCGGUUAUUUAUUGUUAACACUUGUCCUGUAAUUAAUUGAAAUGUCUUUUUGAUUGCUGAUAUAGUUAAAUUAAUUUUAUCAUGCUGCUGCAGUAUUGGUUUGUAGACUUUUUGUUGUCAUUAUUAUUAUUAUUUGGGAAUGAACAGGAAAACUGAUGAUUUAUGUAUUUGUGUUUAUUAUAUAUAUGUUUAUUUGUGUGCUUUCAUACAUGAAUAACCCCAAUCUUAAUUUGUAAACUUCUCCUGACUUCUUCUUUAUAAAUAGUAAUAUAUCUAUAGAAGUUUCUUCAUUGCUAAAGUAGUUGAUAUCUGGUCGAGAUUGAGAUUGAGAUCUGACUUACUCGAUAAUGUGGAAGAUUAUAGUUCUCAGUAGUUAAGUAUAAAACAUAUAGUAAACAUGCAAAUAUUCAAGUAAACUGAAAAGGGUUAGUCAGGUAUCUUGAUUGGUUUAGUUCAUAAUUUCCUGAUUUACUCCCAGGGACUGUUGGAGAGGGACUUCCUUUGAUUUGUAGAUGUCAAAUUUGGGGUCCCCAUCAAAUCAGAGUCUGCAAGAUAUAUUUUGUAUGUCCAAUACUUUUUGCUUGAUGCUCUGAUCGAACCUUUAAUUAAUUAAUUAAUUUAUUUAUUCUGAGCUCAGUGCUGCUUUUACUUGCUUGCUCAAGUAAAUAUUUAUCACUUUGCUAUUGGUCACUUAUUUUUACUUUUAAUUUGGGCUGUUUUUGUGAAUUUCAUUCGAUUCUGAGUUUUUUCAAUGAGAAGUUGUUUUUCGUUAAGUUAUUGGCUGAUUUUUGGGCCAAAACAUUGUUUUUGCUUUAGACAGUUGUUGCUAUCCCUCUACCUGAUCUGGGAUGCAGUGGGAAGAAUUAUAUUGGUUUGAACCCAUCCUGCUCCUUUCUGGCAUUUUUUAUAUUUAUGACACUGACCAAAUUUUGGGUGGAUUCAAAGGAAAUUCUGUGAAUUUAGAAGUUCUUUAGAGUGCCUUGUUAUCACAUUAGGUCCCAUGUGUCUUCCUGCUCGACUUGUAGAAUAGCCUGAUGUACAAAUGAACUGUUUGGCAUCUGAAUGGAAGCCUGAUAGCUAGAAUCGAAACAGGCCUGGAGUGCUGGAACACUUGUGCACUACCCUAGUGAUUUGACACAUGAACAAUGGUCGAACAACAAACACAUCAUGCCAGAAUUAAAGAAAAGUCCCCUUGUGUCUGUAUAACCUUAUCAAAACAGAGUCCAGAUUUUUUUACAGCAACAACACAGGAUGUUCAUAUGGACUUCUACACACUUCUAUUCGGUUAUAUAGCUAUUCAUACGCUAUCUACAUUGGAUGGGGACAAACCUUGGGAUGACCAGUGGUCUCCUUCCUUAGCUGAUGAUGGAACCUACCCGGAUCUGGCUUAGCGGCUGUCUAGGCGUCCUUGCCAUCAAGUAGCAGUCUUAGACAUGCAAAGAAUUAAAUGAAAUAUGAGAUGCUGCCAAUUCUCUUGUAGCUUCCUUCCUCAAUGAGUGCAGUACUCCCCCACAUUAUUCUGUCAGCAUCCUUCCUCCAUCGGCAGAACACAGCCGCAUUUGAUGGCAUUCUGUUUGCAAGCUUCAGCAUGGUGGAUGGAAGGUGAUUGACAAAAUGCUGAGACAGGGUAUUGAGUGUGAAAUGAGAGUGGGUGUGGAGUUUUGUUGCUUUAGCUUGCGCUGGGGGGAGAUUAAAUAAUUGCUGAUUUAGGAUUAUUUGAAUGAACUUUGACGUUGUUUCUUCAGCCAAAGCAUUGACGUCGGUUUUCAUUGAGUGAAAUUUUCUUUUGCUGGGCUGCAUACGUGAGUAUGUUGACUUCAUUCAACUUUAGAAAAUAGUCCUACAGUGUUUAAUACUUUAUUUGCGAUGAAGAUUGCAUUCGUAAUACUUAGAUUUUAUGAUCAUGAUUCUUUAUCUUCUUUAGUAAUAGAAAGGAUCGUGCAAUGAUCAUUGCACGAUACAAAGUCACCAUACACUAAACUAAAAUACAAGAAAACAUUCAAAUGCUUCAUACUUUAUUUGCGAUGAAGAUUGCAUUCGUAAUACUUAGAUUUUAUGAUCAUGAUUCUUUAUCUUCUUUAGUAAUAGAAAGGAUCGUGCAAUGAUCAGUGUACGAUGCAAAGUCACCAUACACUAAACUAAAAUGCAAGAAAACAUUCAAAUGCUUCACCAAUCUUUCUGGUGGCACAUUGUUAAGGAAGUCCGGUAUGCUGAGCUCACAGAGUGUGGGAGUAAGAAGGAGAAGAAGCUUCAGUCUCAGUCAGUCAAACGUUUCAGCAAUGCCAGCUCAUCAGAGUUAGUUAAGCAAGUUGCCAGAUCAGCACAAGUUUGUUGAGAUUGUUAUUAGUCAUUUCGUAUGUGUGUAUAACGAAAUGUAAUUAGCUUAAGUUGCAAUCUUGUGCAUGUAUAUAAGUUGAGUUGAUUCUGUUGUUAAUGUUUAAGAAAAAUCAAUAAGAAAUAAAGUGAUUUUUUCUCUAAAAAAUAUUUUCCUCAGAAACAAACAACUUCGUUUUCUCUUUUAUGGUAUCAGAGCCAUCCAUGGCUAGUUCCUGUACAAUAAAUCAAAAUCGUUUAAAUUUCAAUCAAAUGCAUUCCACACAAACUUCAUUUACUUUUGCUACAACAGUAAAACUCAAUCGAUCAAAUUUCCUUCUUUGGCACAAAUAAGUGAUUACUUCAAUCAGAGGGAACCGACUUGAAGGAUUAAUCUCAAAGAAGCAGAAUAUUCCAGAACAACAUAUUUCUCAGUCACAAGCUGAUGGAUCUGUGGAAAGGAUUGAAAAUCCAGCUUAUGUCAACUGGAGAGCUCAAGAUCAAACUCUGCUUAGCUGGCUUCUUUCAACAAUUAGUUAUUUUCCUCAGAAACAAACAACUUCGUUUUCUCUUUUAUGGUAUCAGAGCCAUCCAUGGCUAGUUCCAGUACAAUAAAUCAAAAUCGUUUAAAUUUCAAUCAAAUGCAUUCCACACAAACUUCAUUUACUUUUGCUACAACAGUAAAACUCAAUCGAUCAAAUUUCCUUCUUUGGCACAAAUAAGUGAUUACUUCAAUCAGAGGGAACCGACUUGAAGGAUUAAUCUCAAAGAAGCAGAAUAUUCCAGAACAACAUAUUUCUCAGUCACAAGCUGAUGGAUCUGUGGAAAGGAUUGAAAAUCCAGCUUAUGUCAACUGGAGAGCUCAAGAUCAAACUCUGCUUAGCUGGCUUCUUUCAACAAUUAGUGAAGGUAUCUUAGGCUCAGUUCUUAACUAUGAUACUUCUUUUGAUAUUUGGAGAUCUAUUGAAAAGCAAUUUGGAGUGCAAUCUGAAGCAAAAAUAAUGCAACUUCGAUAUGAAUUAGAUACUCUGAGAAAAGAGUCAAUGUCUAUUGAAGAUUAUUGUUCGAAAAUGAAAAUGCUAGCUAAUAAACUUGCAUGUGCUGGAGAUAACAUAACUAAAAAAGAUUUGCUGAUAAGGACACUAAAUGGACUUGGAUCUGGCUUCAAUAAUUACAGCCAAUAAGAUGAGUUAUGAUGAUGCAUAUGCACUUUUACUAACACAUGAAGCUAGGCUGGAACAAAAUUAGAACCCUCAGGCCAUGUUUAAUGCAAAUUAUAGUAUGAUGAAUACAAAUUAUUCACAUAUGAGGGGUGCUCCUAGGAGAAAUGCUUAUGGUAAUGGUAAUGCUACCUAUGAAUAAUCUGGAGGCAGAGGUCAGUUUUUUGGUCGAGGCAUGUUUUCUGCUUCUUAUCCUAGAGGUUUUCUAGCUGGUAGUAGUACUGCUAGUGGUUUUGGUAUAGGAAAUGUUGCAGGUUUUGGAAGAAAUCAGUUCAUGCAGUCUCAUAGGCCACCACAAAUGAGGCACAUGUUCUCUCCUGCUAAUACUUCAAAUGUUUCUGAAUCAAGUGAGCCAGUACCUAUAUGUCAAAUAUGUCACAAGCAAGGACAUACUGCUGAUGCAUGUUGGUAUAGGUAUGGUGAUGCUUAUGUUUCUUCACCUAAACAAUUUGGGAGAGGAAAAAUGAUGGGAUCAAAGACUGCAUAUAUGGCUAAUUUUGAGCCAUUUCCUUAUCAACUAUCAUCAUUUAAAGAUCCUUAUGAAGCUUCAGAUCUGGCUCUCAAUUCAUGAACUAUUCUCCUGCUUCUUCUUCUUAUCCAUCAGAGGCAUUUACUCUGCCUGAAGCCUAUGUUGCAAAUGUUAAAGGUUCAACUGAUGAAGGGUGGUAUCUUGACAGUGGAGCUACACACCAUAUUACUAAUAACAUGGCAAAUAUGCAUGUGAGAGAAGAAUUCAAAGACUCAGACCAGCUAACCAUUGGCAAUGGACAAGGUUUGAUCAUUACUCACAUUGGUGAUGCAUGCUUUAAUCAUAAAAGUUUCAAAUCUGCCUUCAAACACACACCUAUAACACUCAAGGAUAUCUUGUUAGUUCCUUCAAUUACUAAGAAUUUAAUAAGCAUAUCCAAAUUGACAACUGGUAAUAAUCUUUCCAUUGAAUUUGUUGGCAAUGUGUGUUAUGUAAAGGAUUCACUGAAGGGACAAGUACUUCUGCAAGGUCUUGCUGAGAAAGGAUUGUAUAAGUUGCUGUUAAAAUCAUCACAGUCUCCCACUUCCUUCGUGUGUCAAGUUUCUUUAAAUCAGCCUCUGUCUAUUUUAUCAACAUGUCAUGUUUCUUUUUCUGUUGCAAAUAAUGUUCAGAAUAAACACUCAAGUUCUAAAGCUUGUUUUCAAACUGAUGUUUUCUCUUGUAAUUCAUUGGUCAAUAAAGUUGAUCUUCUUCAUAGAAGAUUUAGUCAUCCUUAUCAUAAUGUCUUCAUACAUUUGCUUAAGAAUGAUCAAACUAUUAAUCUUUCAACUUCUCUUAUUAACCAAGCUGCACAAUAAAUAUGUGAGGCCUGUCAUAUAGGAAAAAGUCACAUAUUGCACUUCCCUGUCACAGAAACCAAAACUUCUCAAGUGCUUGAACUAAUUCACACUGAUUUAUGGGGCCCUUCACUUAUCAUUUCUAAAGCUGGUUAUGUCUAUUAUAUCAACUUUGUUGAUGACUUUAGUAGAUACACCUGGAUUUAUCCAUUAAAAUUAAAAUCAGAAGCCCUAUAAGUUUUCAAAUUGUUCAAAUUGCAAGCUGAAAAACAAUUUUAAUGUCCUAUUAAAAUGCUGUAAUCAGAUUGGGGGGGAGAGUAUAGAGCAUUUACUGAUUUUUUGAACCAAAAUGGAAUCAUAUUCAGACACUCAUGUCCCUACACACAUCACCAAAAUGGGAUAGUUGAGAGAAAACACAGGCAUAUUGUUGAGUUAGGACUCACACUUCUAGCUCAAGCUAAAUUACCCUUAACCUUUUGGUGGGAAGCUUUCCAAACAGCAGUUUACCAUAUUAACAAGUUGCCUUCUGCAACUCUGAAGUUCCUUACUCCAUAUGAAAAGUUGUUUAAACAUAAACCAGACUACAAAAUGCUUAGAUGUUUUGGUUGUGCAUGUUAUCCAUAUUUAAGAGAUUAUAACAAGCAUAAGUUUGAUUAUCAUUCUAGCAAGUGUGUCUUCAUUGGUUACAGCCCUUCUCAUAAAGGAUACAAGUGUUUACAUCCAUCUGGUCAGGUUUAUAUAGCAAGACAUGUUAUCUUUGAUGAGUCCUCUUUUCCUUAUUCCUCAUAUUCUGCUUUUGCUUCUAAUAAAUCAAACUCAUCUUAAAACUUGUCUUUCACUCCUCAGCAAGUGUAUCAUCUAUCCACUUUGCCAUUAUUCUCAACUUCAGAUGAUACAGCACUCAUGAUUCUAUCUCUGCAAGUUCCACCAGCAGCAGUUCUCAUCAUUCAGUUCCUCAUAAUCAUAACAACAAUUCUCAUCCAUUGUCACAAACAAACACAUCACCAAUCACUAAUACAGAGCCUAAUACAGAGCUUCAUACUUCUUUACCAAUUCAGCCAAUCACCACCAACAGACCUCUCAUUUCUCAAACAUCACUAGAAACUGAUCAAAACACAUCAGCUCCAGAAAAUACAACAAUUCAACACUUCUUUAAACACACGUCCUAUGACAACUAGGAGUAAGAUUGGCAUUUUCAAACCUAAGCUCUACAAUGUAGCUCUUGUUCAUAAAGAGCCAGAAUCUAUAGAAGAAGCUAUGCAAAAUCCUAAAUGGUUUGCAGCUAUGGAGGAAGAAUAUAGUGCUCUACUUAAGAACAAUACAUGGUCUUUAGUUCCAAGAUCAGAUGGUCAGAAGAUUGUUGGAAACAAGUGGGUAUAUCGAGUUAAGCAUAACUCAGAUGGAAGUCUGGCCAAGUAUAAGGCUAGAUUAGUUACUAAGGGAUUUCAACAAAUUGCAGGGGUAAAUUACUUUGAAACUUUCAGUCUAGUGGUAAAAUCAGCUACUGUUAGAGUAGUGAUUAGUUUGGCUGUUAUGAAUCAGUGGCAAAUCAGACAAGUAGAUGUUAAUAAUGCUUUUCUUAAUGGGGAGUUAACAGAAGAAGUUUUUAUGGAUCAACCAGCAGGGUUUGUUGACAGUCAAAAGCCAAACUUUGUGUGUAAACUCCAUAAGUCACUUUAUGGUCUCAAGCAAGCUCCACGAGCUUGGUAUGAAAAGUUAAAAGGGUGUUUGUUACAGUGGGACUUUAAAAACGCAAGGGCUGACACAUCUCUGUUAAUUAAGAAAACUAGCUCUUACAUGAUAUUGGUAUUGAUUUAUGUUGAUGAUAUCUUAAUCACAGGACCAAAUAGUGCAGAACUAGAAUCUUUUAUUGCCAAGUUUAAUGUAGUUUUUGCACUCAAGGAUUUGGGUACUCUCUCUUAUUUUCUGGGCAUAGAAGUCUUAUAUGGUGCAGAUUGCAUUUAUCUGUCUCAAAGGAAAUACAUAAGAGAUCUACUGACUAAGGUUCAGUUGCUUGAAUGUAAAUAUAUCGACACACCUAUGAGUAUUGGAAUUAAGCUGCAAAAAGAAGCUCAAGGACAUCUAGGCCAAUACAUUACUGAUGCUACACACUACAAGAAUAUUGUAGGAGGUAUGCAGUAUCUAGUUUUAACAAGGCCAGAGAUUGCCUUUGUUGUAAGCAAAUUAAGCCAGUAUGUUUCAAGUCCUACAAUGCAACAUCUUAUAGCUUGUAAGAGAGUGCUUAGAUACUUAAAGUCUACUCAAGAUUAUGAACUUAAGUUUGCUCAUAAUGGAGAAAUGAAGAUUACUGGAUUCAUUGAUGCAGACUGGGCUUGUGAUUUAGAUGAUCGAAAAUCUAUUGGAGCUUAUUGCAUCUACUUAGGUAAUAAUUUGAUUUCAUGGUCAUCCAAGAAGCAGUCAGUCAUUGCUAGAUCUAGUGCUGAGAGUGAGUAUAGGGCCUUAACUUCAGCUAGUGCAGAGAUAAGCCGGUUACAAUCUUUGUUUUCUGAAAUUGGUUUGUGUUGUUAAGAGAUACCCACUAUCUGGUGUGACAACACCAGUGCCACUGAGCUAGCUCAUAAUCCUGUUUGCCAUUCUAGAACUAAACACAUCGAGCUUGACUUACGCUUUAUCAGAAACAAAGUGAUUGCAGGGGAGUUAAAAAUUCAGUAUAUUCCCAGUGAAGAACAGAUUGCUAAUAUCAUGACAAAACCCCUCUCUUUUGUUCAUUUUAACUAUCUGAGGUCAAAGCUCAAUGUGCAGCCUUGCCCCUUGAGUUUGAAGGGGGCUGUUAAGGAAGUCCAGUAUACUGAGCUCACAGAGUGUAGGAGUAAGAAGGAGAAGAAGCUUUAGUCUCAGUCAGUCAGACGUUUCAGCAAUGCCAGCUCAUCAGAGUUAGUUAAGCAAGUUGCCAGAUCAACACAAGUUUGUUAAGAUUGUUAUUAGUCAUUUCAUAUGUGUGUAUAACGAAAUGUAAUUAGCUUACGUUGCAGUCUUGUGCAUGUAUAUAAGUUGAGUUGAUUCUGUUGUUAAUGUUUAAGAAAAAUCAAUAAGAAAUAAAGUGAUCUUUUCUCUGAAAAAUAUUCUGCUGUACUGCCAAGGCGGAUGUACGGUACAGCAGCUUCUAAUAAAUCAAACUCAUCUUAAAACUUGUCUUUCACUCCUCAGCAAGUGUAUCAUCUAUCCACUUUGCCAUUAUUCUCAACUUCAGAUGAUACAGCACUCAUGAUUCUAUCUCUGCAAGUUCCACCAGCAGCAGUUCUCAUCAUUCAGUUCCUCAUAAUCAUAACAACAAUUCUCAUCCAUUGUCACAAACAAACACAUCACCAAUCACUAAUACAGAGCCUAAUACAGAGCUUCAUACUUCUUUACCAAUUCAGCCAAUCACCACCAACAGACCUCUCAUUUCUCAAACAUCACUAGAAACUGUCAACAUGACUCCUGCCCACACCCGCCCCCAUCUUCUUCUUCAUUCUUGAUAAUCGUGGUAAUUAAUUAUUUCUCCAGUUCUAUAACAAAAAAUGGCAUACUAUUUUUACUUGUCCUAAUGGCCUUUUUUUUUUUCCCCCCGAGUAUGUUUAAGUUUUUUUUUUUUUUACUGCAGUCAAUUGUGCCAAUGAUACUCAGGUCACUAGUGAGGUUAGUGACGGCACUAGUGUCUCAGCCAUCAGCCACCGUCACAACUCUAUUUUACUACAGCAAUCUUCUCCCUCGAAACUUAAACUUAGAGUGGCUUGUUCAUCGAGAAUUUCUCGAUCGGGAAAACUAAUUGUUCCAUUUUCUCAUCAAUGUCUUGACAUGUUUCUGGUAGCUAUAUAUUAUUAUUAGCUACUUGUUGAGCAAGAUCUUUUCUGUACUUGCUCUCCUUGCUUAUUUAUUAUUUAGGGUUGGGCUAAUUAAAAGCUCUCGUCUUUUACACAAUACCUCUUCUCUCACUAUUUUUAGACCAUUGAUUAAUACGGUUUAUAUUGUAUAUUAAUUAUGCAUUAAUUACAUAUUUAACCAAAAUAAACAAGAGAGAGUAUGCCCGCAUGCGCGCGUGUGUGUGUUAUUUCCAAAUAUCAAAAGUGUAUUAAUAGAGGAUAAAUCUAGAAAUUGGGUAAAAAUUAAAAGAGUGUAAUAGAGAGUUUAGCUUACCUUAUACAUUUUAUUUCGGAUUUUGCCUCGGGGAAUCACAUUCCACAUGUAAAUGCGCCCAAUAUAUUAUUGAUGAAUCAGAGGGCUUUUGCUAGUCGAAGAGAUUUGGAAAUUUAAGUAGUCAUACAUCUCUUGUAACACACUAAGCUGUUCGUUUUGGGAGUAAUAUGUCUGUCUCUGAAAAACUAGUCUGCAAUGUCAACAGCAUGAGGCAUUAAUACAUGAUCAAAAGGUGGCUAUUUCUCUCUUUGCUGUCCAUUUUUUUUAGAUCAAUUGUGUGAAUGGACCAGUAAUGGGUGAUUUCAGGUUCAAACCAACUAUUACUAAUGAUUUUUAUGAGUGUUUGAUGCAUAAAUUCAACAAAUUUAGCCAGAACUCAUAAAUUUAACGCUAGUGAUAAGUCUGUUUUACUUAUUUAUAUAUUUUUCCAUUCCAAAUUCCAAUCCGAGCCCGAGCUACGACUCGUUCUCCGAUAUUAUUUUCUGCGUUCAAUAGUUGAUUAGAGGGCAGUGCAAGAAAUAAAUUCUUUAUAAUAUCAACACAAGGGUGCUUAUAGUGUGUACGUUUGCAUUUAAACAAAUUUUCUGCAGCUUUGUAUACAAAGUCAGCGCAUUCAAGAUAGUGACUUUGUCUUUUAAAUUCAAAAAAGAAAAACAAUGAGAGUUAGUCAUCUUGAUUUAGUCGGUACAUUAUCAUGGCUAAAAUGUUUGUUAAUUAAUUAAUUAAGAAGAAAAAAUUUCCGUAUCUAUGUUGAUUUGAAAUUUUUGGCAAUUGACGUUGUCCGUGUCAAGUGGAAACUCAAUUGGCUAUGUGCCCGGCCGUCAGUGAACAUGUUUUCAAACUCCUCAAUUUAUUUCACUAACCCCCAUUUUCCACUGAAUCGCAUUUACUUUCAAAGUUACCCUUGUUGACCAUUUUCUUCUUCCAAAUUUACAUUCAAAUUCUAGGGAAUAAAACAACGGAAAUUCAAGAAUUAAUUCUUCAUCCAAAAUCCUUGUCUCCCACUUGAUCUCUUGAGCAAUACUUUUUCCUUUAUGGAUGAUUUAUACAAACUCUUGUCUUCAAGUACAACUUCCUAGUUUUCGUCCAUGGAUGGCUGAUGAUUGAGUCAGAAGCUCAGACUUUUAUUGUGUGAUUCUCUAGAGUCACAAAGUCAUGGGUUAAAUUGAUUUGCUAAUAACAUCUCCAUUUACGGCGGUAACUAUUUAUUAGCUUAGGGAUGCUAUGGCCAUAGCUUUAAUAGCGUUGCUUUAUAUACAGAUCCCAUAAAUUUUGUCCAAAAAAGUUGAUUUGGAAAUUAGCUCAUGAUUUAUGAACAUAAAGACAUGAUGCAGUUGACUAAAAGGAUGGUUUGAAAAUGGAGUUACUUUUGAUGAGCAUAAACGUUUCUCGCUCAUAAAAACAUGAUGCUUCAGAAGUGAAAAAAAAUAAUGAUUGAAAAAAUAAAAAUAAAAAUUAUAAGGGUGAAACUGGGAAUAAACAGGGUUAAUUAAAAAGUGGGGUUUUGGGAGAUAAAAAUAUGAGGGUUAUAAAUAGCACUACCCAAGCAAAAGGACAAAAGCAAACACUGUAAGGACCGAAAAAACCUUAAUGGCCCAAUGUAGCGACAUGAAUUUUCAAUAUCCGGUGUAGAUUACUAGAAGAGGAGUUGUCGGUGCGCCCAAUGUUGCAAGUACUUUUAAGCCCAGAAAAAACACUCGGUUUUCUCAGCCCAGCCCUAUGCAACCCGCACAAAAAAGAAGAGUAGGUCUCAAGAAAUAUUAGCUUCGUGAUCACGUAAAUUAAUUUCACUCUUUUUCAGUAGUCUCAACGUAUCAACAGUACCAACCAACCGGCGAACAGGAAAUCAAUUAAGCUCUGAUGCUCUCUCACUGUCUCUCUUCUCUUUGAUGUCAAGAUUCAGUUUACCUUCAACAUGACUCCUCUCCGCACCCGCCCCCAUCUUCUUCUUCAAUCUUGAUGAUCGUGGUAAUUAAUUAUUUCCCCAGUUUUAUAUAAAAGAAUGGCGUACAAUUUUUACAUGUCCUAACUCCUAAUGGUCAAUUUUUUUAUCAAAUAUGUGAAAGAUUUUUCAUUUUUAUAAUUUUUUUUAACUGCAGUGAAUUGUGACAAUGAUGCUGAUCAGGUCACUCAUGAGGUUAGUGACGUCACUAAUGUCUCAGCCAGCAGCCACCUUCGCAACUCUAUUAUACUACAGCAAUCUUCUACCUCGAAACCUAAACUUAGAGCGGCUUGUUCAUCGAGAAUUUCUUGACCGGGAAAACUAUUUGUUCCAUUUUCUCAUCAAUGUCUUGACGUGUUUCUGGUAGCUAUGUAUUAUUAGCUACUUGCUCAGCAAGACAAUUUCUCUACUUGCUCUCCUUGUUUAUUAUUUAGGGUUGGGCUAACUAAAAGCUCUCGUGUGUCGCACAAUACCUCUUCUCUUACUAUUUUUAUACCGUUGAUUAAUACGAUUUAUAUCGUAUAUUAAUUAUGCAUUAGUUAUAUGUAUACAUAUAUGCGUAUAUGUUAUAAUAUACAUAUAUCAAAAGUGUAUGAGUGGAAGAUAAUACUAGAAAUUGGGUAAAAAUUAAAAGAAAAAUAAUAUUAAAGAUCUCAAUAUUUGACUUCCAAAGAGAGUAAUAGAGUGCAAUUAAGUAGACAUAUAUCUCUUAUAACACAGAAGAUGAAUGGUUUUAAAUUAUGCGUAAUUAACGAACUUGGUAGUCCAUUAUGAGGUUGAAUUGCUGAUAAGAACAAGGAGAGAAAUCGAAUGUUGAAUCAUGAAAAGCAAUUUAGUAGUUAUGAGAAUGAUAAUUAUUUUUAUAAUGUUAUUUUGAAAAAUUAUUAGAAAUUGUGUGGUUAUCAUUCUUAAAUUGAUCUAGAAUGCAUGAAUAGAGCUAUGAAUUGAUACAAUUUGAUGCAGGGCCGAUAUUAAAUAGGGGCUUUUUAUAAUUUAGUUUUAACAUCAAAUUAUAACUAACAACAUUGAUAAGUUUCCAGUCUUGUUGAAUGGAGGAUGAUUAUUUAGAAGUAACCUGUUUUGGGCCGAGAAAUCUAAGUUGCUCCAUCAAGACUUUGAUCUAAGAAAUUUUGGUAUAAUUUUUAUUAUAAACGUCAAUAGACUACUAUAAUAAAAUUUGAAAAAAUUAUAUUAUGCAUUGUCAAAUGGUUAUAUUUUAUUGACUUUUAUUGAUUUUUUGACCAUAUGACAAUGUGCAGAAUGUGAGAUACGAUACCUUAAAGUACUUUGAUUUUGAACUAUUUAAUUUAAUACAAUACAUCCCUUAUUUUAUAUGACAUGAUAUGGGUUGUUGAAAGCAUGUAUAAUUUAUUUACCAUCUUAUUAAUGGGUGCUUUCCCAUUAAUCGUGAAGAGUUCAUUUCGUUAAUUUGGGUGCAAUGACAAAUGUUAGGGGUUUGAUUCCGUUGUGAUGGGCUCCGAAGAGGAUGACAUGUACAUUGGUAUCCGCUUUCUUUGGUUUGGUUGGUUGUUCAUAAAAUCCCUACUUUAUGCAAGCUUUUGCUUUAAUUUGCUUUCAGUUAUGAGCACGACAGAUAAUAUGAUCCCCUCGAUAACAAUAAAUAAAGGAAUGAGAGUAAUGGGCUUUCCCGGAUUGUUUCAUUAAUUGUUCAUGCACAAUUUCAAGGGUUGAGUGCAGCAAGAAAUUGAGAGCGACAAGCCACUUGAAGGCUUGGUUAGCUGUCUUACUUUUAACAUUAAAAUUAGCAUUUGAUCAUUUAUUUUCAUUCUUUUAACUAUAAAAAAUAUCAAAGCUGCCACAAAGCCAUGCAAAUUAUUCAUAAUUAUAUUAGUAGUUGAUUUAAUAAAGGGCAGUGCUACGUUACAAUUAACGUAACGUACGCCCACACACAGUAAUAAUGGUAGGUUCCACCGAUGGAUACUAUUGAUGUGUGUGGACAUACGUUAUGUUAAUCGUAACGUAGGGGGCUCCUUUAAUAAAUUAGUUGUUAUAACUAGUUAAAAUUCAAACAGUACGUCUAUUCACUUCUCUUUCAAUUUUAUAUUGUUUCAAUCUAAACUUUGAAAAGUGCAAACAUUAAUCCGUAUACAUGUUUUAACAUAAUAUCCUAGGCCACCUACAAAGCUUCUACAUGAUAUUUUGACUAAACCAAAAAAAGAAAAAAAAGUCUUUUGGCUGCCCUAAAUAAAAUCUUUGUUCUCCGAGAAAAUGGUUUUGGAUAUUGAAUUAUUGAUGAAUCUGUCAGCUACAUCAAAAGCAAUUAUUGUUGUGGAAUGCUUAAGGUUGACUUGCCAUAUGGCAGGGUCACUAGCUAUAGUUAUUAUUCAUGCAUCCCCCGUUUAUACGAGAUAUUCAACAACUUCAUUUUCAAGCAAACUCCAAAACUUUAUAAUUAACAGAAAUGGCAACGCCCAACCCCACAAAGGCUGACCAUAUCCAACUAAUCUUUUGCCAAUUUUUAGCCUUUUAAUUUGUUCCUUCUUUGCCAACUCAUUGCCAGCUGCUCUUGAAUUUAAUUCCUUUUUAAAUAAAGGAAUGAGAGUAAUGGGCUUUCCCGGAUUGUUUCAUUAAUUGUUCAUGCACAAUUUCAAGGGUUGAGUGCAGCAAGAAAUUGAGAGCGACAAGCCACUUGAAGGCUUGGUUAGCUGUCUUACUUUUAACAUUAAAAUUAGCAUUUGAUCAUUUAUUUUCAUUCUUUUAACUAUAAAAAAUAUCAAAGCUGCCACAAAGCCAUGCAAAUUAUUCAUAAUUAUAUUAGUAGUUGAUUUAAUAAAGGGCAGUGCUACGUUACAAUUAACGUAACGUACGCCCACACACAGUAAUAAUGAUAGGUUCCACCGAUGGAUACUAUUGAUGUGUGUGGACAUACGUUAUGUUAAUCGUAAUGUAGGGGGCUCCUUUAAUAAAUUAGUUGUUAUAACUAGUUAAAAUUCAAACAGUACGUCUAUUCACUUCUCUUUCAAUUUUAUAUUGUUUCAAUCUAAACUUUGAAAAGUGCAAACAUUAAUCCGUAUACAUGUUUUAACAUAAUAUCCUAGGCCACCUACAAAGCUUCUACAUGAUAUUUUGACUAAACCAAAAAAAGAAAAAAAAGUCUUUUGGCUGCCCUAAAUAAAAUCUUUGUUCUCCGAGAAAAUGGUUUUGGAUAUUGAAUUAUUGAUGAAUCUGUCAGCUACAUCAAAAGCAAUUAUUGUUGUGGAAUGCUUAAGGUUGACUUGCCAUAUGGCAGGGUCACUAGGUAUAGUUAUUAUUCAUGCAUCCCCCAUUUAUACAAGAUAUUUAACAACUUCAUUUUCAAGCAAACUCCAAAACUUUAUAAUUAACAGAAAUGGCAACGCCCAACCCCACAAGGCUGACCAUAUCCAACUAAUCUUUUGCCAAUUUUUAGCCUUUUAAUUUGUUCCUUCUUUGCCAACUCAUUGCCAGCUGCUCUUGAAUUUAAUUCCUUUUUAUAUUCCACUUGUGUUUUGAUCGAUCAUGUGAUCAUACCAGAAAUGAAGGUGUCCAAAUACUGUUGCUUUUAACCCCCUGUCUCCGCAAAAUCUAUUGAAUUCAACGAGUUAAGGGUAAUAAUAAUUUGCAAUUUGCUACGAUUCGCUCCCAGUUUGAGCCUAAAAUUUAUAUAUAUAUAAAAAAAAGACAUAAAUAAAGGGAAAAAUGAGCUAAUAUAAAUGCUUGAUCUAGAUUAAACGUCGGAAUUUCGUCUUAAUAAUUAUCAAUAUUUGAUGAGAAGGUUUCAACUUUUUUUUUUUGAACUUUUUUUUUCAUCACAAGCCUCAUUGUGUUUAUCUCAAUGCUCAAACUCAAACACAUUGAAGAUUCUGUCUCUUGGGGACAUAACUGCACACGUGACUUUCUCCUCAUCAGAACUUGAGAGAGUGCAAAGUCUUCUUUAAUUUCUCAAUCUACUCUAAUUUUUUAAUGAACAACACUUGACUUUCUUCUCAUUACAACAUAAGAGAGUACAAAUUUUUCUUCAAUUUCUUAAUCUAUUCUAAUUUUUUUAAUGAAGAAUGAUAAUUUUAGCGAACAUGCCACAUUGCAAGUCAUGCUUGAUGGUACAACAAUGGGUCCCAUGAGCCCACCAACUAUCAAAGGGCUAUUAAUUAACUAUUUAUAUAUUAAGAAACCGGCUAAGAUACAUGUUAACAAGUCAACACUGUGGCCAUAUGGGAGACUUCUUGCCACCAAUAGGAACCGUAUCUCAACCACUUCUACAGUUGCAAGAAGUUAUAUAUUGAUCAAAUUCCAUGUUCGAAUGUGCCUAGUUAAAUUGAUUCUUUAUGAUUAAUUUUUUUCUUUCUUUUUAAGUUUAUAACCCGUAUUUUAUAUGUAGAAUCUUGGGAAAUUAAAAUGAAAAUCCUCUGAUGACCAUCUAACAAAAUAAGAGAGUAGUUGUGCAAGGAUUUUGCUUAAUUAAUACUUAGCCUAAGUUAUAAUGGAGAAAAGAGUGAAGCCCCUCUUAUUUGAUAAAAUUAAUCAAAAUCUUCUCUGAUGUAAUUCGAGAACACAUCCAAAUCUUCAGAUUGUCAAUUUUUUUUUUUUCUGAUCUUAUCAUUUUGUGCCUGGUGGUUUUUUGAUUUUGGAAUAUGAAUACCUUUAAUUAUUUAAUUAAUUUUAAAAAUUAAAGAAAAUUACAGGAAAAAGUAAGAGAUUGUCAUUUUUUUAAUUAAUUCUGAAAACUUGUUCAUAAUUAAUUGAAAUAUUAAAUGCAAAAUUAAUUUUUAUAUAUAUGUGUGUGUGUGUGUAUCCGCGCGUGUGACAAUUUCCUUACUUUUUUUUUUUAAAUUUCAUUUUCCCAUUAAUUAAUUAAUUAAAAGUAUUCAUAUUUUUUAUAUCAAACAACCACCAAAGUAAAAUGGUAAGAUUAACAAAAAAAACCAGAUACCGAAGAGUUUGGAUGUGUUUUAAAAUAUGUGUUUUUUUUUUUUUCCAUAUUAUAGUAUUGGCGCUAGAAGCAUCGCAUUACCGUACCAAAUUCUUUGUUACAUCAAUUAAAACUUAAACAUAAGGCUAAUCAAUAAAUUUUUUUGAAAAAAAAAAAAACCCUUCUUCAUGGUUUUUAAUGAAGAAAAGUCCUGGAAGUUUUGUUGGAAGACAGUGUACAACCAAAUGCAUAAAAUGAUUAGAAAACAUGUAAAUGAAUCAAACUUUUUCAAAGCCUAAUAUAUAUGCAAAAAUUAAGGGAUCUAUUUUGCAAAUGAUUGGCUGCUUUCUUUAUAAAGUUAAACAAAUUAGCCUUAUUGGAGGCUGAAAGUAAUCAAUUAUAGUUAUACUGGAAAGGUUCAACACUUUUUCAAAACUUGAAACUACAACUGGCAUCGCAUUUUCUUUGUUUUAAAAAAAAAAAAAGAAGUAGAAUCAAAUGCUUGGCAAGAACGUAACACAUCAUGGAGCCUUACCAUAUGUUCCUCACAGCUGUGUCCUAUUCAGCCAGCUUUUGUGACAAGUCAUGGGGCUGCUGCUUCUUGCGCUUCACUUGCUUUCUCAAAUUACAAGCAACGUAUGGAUAUGCAUGUAACUAGAAAGUGGUGUCCCCUUUAUUUUAUUAUAUUCCUGCCUGAAACGAACGCAAAUCGAUCCUGAGAAAUUUUUAUCACGAUCUUUAUUCUUUUAUUGUGGGAUAUGCUUUAUAUUGGUAAAAGCAAGCAAGCUUUGCCAUGCAAUUUCUCGAAACGGGGAUCUUUCAUACAUAUAAAAAUACUUUGAUUUAAAAUAUGGGAUUGAGAUUUGAGUGAUUGAAGUCUUUUGGGUUUAAUGUGUUAAGAAAGGGGGGAAAAAAAGAAAAAAAACAAACACACACAGAGAAUUGGAACAUUACCCUUAACUGUAUAUUCAAAAAAAUUAAGAAAGAAUGAAAAGGGUAGUUAGCUGUACAGUCUAUAAUCUUUGUCCUUUGACCUAUCGUCGGGAAAUUAUUGUCAUUUUUGGUGAAAGUUUCAUGCAGGCUCUGCCUUUAAACUUGGCCAGCUACGAACGGGUUGCCUAUCAUUUUUGGCUGUCCUUAUCACUAAAUUUUAGGGAGUUUUACCCUCGUAAACACAAAUUGUUUGAGGGAUAUGCUCCGACGAAGACCAGCAGUGAUGAGCAGACAUCUGGUAGCAGGGUUCCGUGAACAGGUGUAUCUUGUAAGACUCCGGUGGCCGGGGGAGCAGGAGCAGGAAUAUCCUGCUCGUCCGCGAGUACGUCAUCUACGAGGCCAACCUCCUGAUGGAAGCAUAAAGCCAUCCUUGCUAAGGUUUGAGUCGAGGAGACCCAGUCAACGAUAGUUGGCGAGACGUGCUCUCCAACCCGAGAAUCAAGGCACGAAGGCCACGCAGCCACCCACGAUUGCAGAAAUGGAGCAUCCACUUUCGAGAUGUGAGAGGAUAACGGGCGUGUAUGGAGGGAAGGUCUGGAUGCAGGAGAGGCCUAUAAAAAGGCAGCCAACGAAGGUAAAAUGGUUAGAAUUUUUUAGAUUAGAACUGAGAAAAAAGAGAGAGCUCUAGAGAAUUGAUACGCCAUAAUAUUUGUGGCUAGCAUUCCCAGGAACACAAAAACCUUCAUUUCUGACUUGAGCGUCGGAGGGUUCACGCCGGGAAAACAACCGGCGUGCUCUGACCUGUUUCGGUGUACGCAGGAACUUCUAGAGAAGAAGCCUUACGAGGAGAGAUCCUGAUCGUGGUAGAGUUGAUCGAGCAGAGAGCCUGGUCGUGUAAGGAGGAUAACCAAAAUCUCGCAUCAACAUUUUGGCGCCGUCUGUGGGGAACUGAACAAAAAGCUUCUGUUGAUAGCAAGAAGAGGAGUAAAGCAAGCGGAAAAACAAUGGAGGCAGGAGGAAGUAGUGCACAAGGGGGGGAUAUGAGGCUUAACGAUUCCGUGACGCUGAGGGAGAUAGCCAGUGAAGCACGGGAAAAAGCCAUGUUUGACCGGAUGGAACGGAUGGAAAAGCAGAUGGAGACCCUGACAACCAUUCUACAUGAGCUACGGAGUGAACGAAGGGGAACCCAUGAAGAAAGGGUGAGGGGUGAUGGAAUAGCAGCAGGUCACGAUAGUACGAGGAGAAGUCAAACCACCAGGAGAUUUGGUGGUGAGAGAGGUAACCUAGCUCUGCGGGGAGAAAUUCAUAGAGAGGAAGAGCAAUCCCCAGCAAGACAGAUUUUUGAUGAGGACGAUGGGGUGGCGAAUGCGGAGGAAACAGAGCUCAGGCAACACCUACAUGAUGUAGAGCAAGAGCGGAAUCAUAUUGCAGCACGUGACUCUAGACGUGAAGUGCAGCUGGAGGAGGAAGUGCGCAGACUAGCGCAGGUAAUUGAUGACAUGCAAGGAAGGAGCAGAGCUCCUGGUUGGAGAAUAAUGCUGGACGGAGAAUCACUGCUCGCAGCAGAGAUCAUGAGGGCAGUCAUUCCAAGAGAUUUUCGCCUACCAAACCUUAGAUAUUCGGGACGAACUGAUCCGCUGGUGCACAUAGAGCGCUUCAACGACAUAACCGGGGUACAAGGACUAUCUCAAGCCCAAAGGUGCAGGGUGUUCCCACUAUCUUUAGAGGGACGUGCACGCGAGUGGUACAGGAAACUUCCUCGGGGGAGCAUUAAAACCUUCGAGUAGAUGUGUCAGGAAUUUACAGAGCAGUUCUAGGGGACAAUGGCACCAGAAGAUGACAUGAUGGAGUUGAAAAGCAUGAAGCAGGGGAGCAAGAAACCCUUCGAGAAUUCAUCAAGAGGUUUUAUCGUGCUGUCCUCGAUUUGUGAGCCUUCAACUAUCCUCAGGCAUUAAGAGGAUUGAAAAAAUGGGUGAAGAUAGGAAGGCUGUGGUACAACUUGAGAAGCCUAGUUAUCCAGACGUAUGCAGCCGCAUACGAGCAGGCUAAGAAGGACAUUGAGAUUGAAGAAGAAAAGGCAGCACGGAUUAAGACAGACCAGGUAGAAGGGUUGGGAAAGAAAGAGAAGAGAACAUUACCAGGGAAUGGGCCGAUCAGGAGGAGGGACCACCAGACCUCAGGUAGUGGUGCAGGAGGUCGGGUAACCGCUUACCAGCCUCAUCAAAGGCCACCACAGUAUCAGCGUAGCAAGGCGCAACCUUCUCGCUCACCAGCUAGGGAGCCUUGGAGAAGACAUGACUCGGCAUAUGGUGAUCUCCAUCCACACUCCCAUGGUAGUAGAGGGAGCUGACCAGAAGCACUGCCACCGCCUCUAACUCAGAACAGCGCAAAUAGAGAAAAGGCAGUGCAUAUGAUCGACCAGAACCAGGACUAUGGGCGGUAUACCUCCUUGAAGAUGUCCAUGGACGAGGUAUACGAGGCCAUAAAGAACCGGGGAUUGCUGUACCUCCCGGCCCCAAUAACAAAGCUACCAGGCAGGAGAGAUAGGGGACGCUAUUGCAAGUUCCAUGGUACCCAUGGCCAUACCACUGCAGAAUACAGAGAUCUCAAGACCUAGGUCGAAGAUUUGGUGAGAAAUCGGUACCUGGACGAGUUUAUAGAUGAGACUUACCCGAUAGUGGCCUCGACAUGUGAAGGGGAGCAGAGUGAUAGAAACUUGAGGCGCGAGCAGCAUGCAGUAAGGGUGAUAGCUGGGGGCCCAACAUUGGCCGGAGAUUCCAACAGAUCAAGGAAGAAUUAUGCUAGAUACGCCAUGACUAGUAAAGAGGUAUUCUUCAACACCCCAGCAGCCAAACGAGCAAAAGUCAGGCAAGUGCCAAUCAUGUGGACGGAUGAGGAUGAAGAAGGGAUUCUAUACCCUCAUGAGGAUGCUUUAGUCAUCAAGGCUACAGUUGCUAGCAAGAAGUUUGACCAGAUACUGGUUGAUACAGGGAGCUCAGUUGAUGUGUUAUAUAAGUCAACUCUGGAAGAGAUGGGAAUAGCAGACCGGAAGUUAGAGUACACCAAUACCUCCUUGAAGGGGUUUGCAGGAGGAAAGUUGGUCCCUCUGGGCGUGGUUGGGCUGCCUAUCACGAUUGGGAGCUCCCCGAUAGAAAGGACUAUAAUACUGGACUUUGUGGUGGUGGAUGAAGAAGGGGUAGUUGGAGUGGUACGAGGAAACCAGAGAAUCGCACGAAGCUGUUACUCCUCGGCAGCAAAGGAAGCAAUGCAGAUAACAUCCCUUGAUACCCGAAUGGAAAACAAGAAUCACAGACAAUAACCUGUAGAGGAGCUAGAGACAGUAAGCCUAGGACCAGAGAAUCUGGGAAAAACGAUCAGAAUCGGGUCGAGACUUAAGGAAGAGCAGAAGCAGGAGUUGGUGCAAUGCUUACAGGCUCAUGCAGAUGUGUUUGCUUGGACACAUGAAGACAUGCCAGGGAUUGAUCCUGAGGCAGCAUGUCAUAAGCUGGCAAUAAAGAAAGGUGCUCGGGCAGUAAGGCAGAAAAGGCGGUGCUUCAACCAGGAGAUGUAUGAGGCCAUAAAUGGCGAGGUGGGGAAGCUCUUGAGAGCAUGGUUCAUUCGGGAAGUCAAUUAUCCUGAGUGGAUAUCGAAUGUAGUGUUGGUAAAGAAGGCAAAUGGCAAGUGGAGGAUGUGUGUAGAUUUCACAGAUCUCAAUAAGGCGUGCCCGAAAGACAGCUUUCCUUUACCAAAAAUCGAUCAGCUAGUAGAUUCAACAGCUGGACACGGCCUGCUUAGCUUCAUGGACGCGUUUUCGGGAUACAACCAAAUUCCCAUGUACGAGCAGGAUGAGGAGAGCACGGCUUUUAUUACUAACUAGGGUUUGUUCUAUUAUAGGGUAAUGUCAUUUGGUCUUAAAAAUGCUGGGGCCACGUACCAGAGAUUGGUGAAUAAAGUCUUUAAGCCAUUGAUUGGGAGAAUCAUGGAGGUGUACGUGGACGACAUGAUAACCAAGUCGAAAAUCCCCAAGGAACAUGUCGGUCACCUCGAGGAGACAUUCGGACUUUUGAGGAAGUAUAAGAUGAAACUCAACCCGAAAAAUUGUGCUUUUGGGGUCGAGUCAGGGAAAUUCCUUGGAUUCAUGGUGAGCCAUAGGGGGAUCGAAGCAAAUCCUGAGAAGAUCCAGGCGAUCGUGUAGAUGAGGUUUCCUUGUAGCCUAAAUGAGAUGUAGAGCCUCACGGGGAGGUUGGCGGCAUUGAGCCGAUUCAUAUCUAAGGUUACAGAUAAGUGUCAGCCAUUAUUUCGAGUGAUAAAGAGAGGAAAGAAAACAGAAUGGACUCCAGAAUGCGAAGAAGCCUUCCAGAACUUGAAGCAGUACUUGCAGCAAGCACUUCUGUUGUCCACACCGACGGAUGGGGACAAGUUAUUUUUGUAUUUCGCGGUAUCAGAUCAGGCCACAAGUUCUGUUCUGGUGAGAGAGGAAGAAGGGGUUCAGUAUCUGAUAUACUACACCAGCAAGGCCCUGCUCGACGCUGAGACCAGAUACUCGCCGUUGGAGAAAUGGGAACUUGCCCUUGUGGUUGCUGCUCGGAAGCUAAGGCCAUACUUUCAAGAAUUCCCAGUCUCGGUGAUAACAAACCAGCCAUUGCGUCAAACUCUGCACAAGCCAGAUGCUUCUGGUCGGCUCGUCAAAUGGGCUAUAGAGCUGAGCGAGUUAGACAUAGACUACAAACCUCGAGCAGCGAUAAAGGCUCAGGUAAUGGCCGAUUUCGUAGCAAAAUUCGCAGAGCCCGAAGUAUGUUUUGACCAGCGAGAUAUAGCUACAGACAGUGGCGAAGCUCAAGUAUGGCAAAUGUCUGUAGAUGGGUCAUCGGGGGAGCAGAGAUUGUCUUGGAAGGCCCGGAGGGGGAGGAGAUCUCUUAUGCUGGAAAGUUAGAAUUCACAGCCACAAAUAACCAGGCCGAAUACAAAACCUUGAUAGUAGGUUUGGAGUUGGCUAAGGCAGUGAAAGCGGAUAGGGUGAAGAUCAGAACUGAUUCCCAGCUGGUCGCAAAUCAUGUCAGUGAGAGAUUUCAACCGAGAGAUGGGAAGAUGGAGCUGUACCUGAAUAAAGUCAGGCAGAUGAUAGGGAAGUUCGAAGCGGUUGAGGUGGUAUAAAUCCUAAGGGAUCAUAAUAGUCGAGCAGAUAUUCUGGCCAGGAUGGCAGCUGUAGCAGACCAAAAAAUGACCAAGUUGAUCCCUUUGGAAGUAAAAACCAACCUUAGCAUCGAGUAGAAUUUGGAGGUGAUGCAGAUAGAACAAAAAGGCUCGUGGAUGGAUCCAAUAGUUUCAUACCUUAGAGACGGGGUAUUACCACCAGAUAAGCUACGAGCUCAGAAGGUCAGAGCCCAGGCUUCGAGGUACACGAUGAUUGAUGGGGUGCUAUAUCGGCGAGGGUAUACGCUACCGUUCCUUCGGUGUUUAGAUGAGGAUGACGCGGACUACGUACUGAGAGAAGUACAUGAAGGGAUUUGCGGAAACCAUUCUGGUGGGAGGUCCCUGGCCCACAAGGUUCUAAGGUAGAGAUAUUUCUGGCCCACAAUGCACCAGGAUGCGCAGGAGAAUACCAGGAGCUGUGUAAGCUGCCAGAGUUUUACAAGUUUCUCCAACCAACCACCAGAGAAGCUUACCUCUAUGGCCUCCCCCUGGCCAUUUGCUCAAUGGGGAAUUGAUCUGAUCGGCCUGUUGCCAAAGGGACGAGGAGCAGCAACGCAUGCAAUAGUUGCGAUAGACUACUUCACGAAGUGGAUAGAGGUAGAAGCCCUUAGCAGGAUCACAGACAAAAAAACAACAGACUUUGUGUGGAGAAACCUGGUCUGUCGAUACGGGAUCCUUUAUGCCUUGGUAACAGAUAAUGGCAGGCAGUUCGAUAAUUACAGCUUCAGGGAUUUCUGCCAGAACCUCGGGAUAGAGUUGAGGUAUUGCUCGCUUACUCACCCUCAAUCUAACGGACAAGUAGAAGCAGCCAACAAGACUAUCAAGAGGCUUUUGAAAACCAGGCUUGGAGCAAAAAAUGGUGUAUGGGUUGAUGAGCUGUCAGGUGUUCUAUGGGCAUACAGGACAACCCACAAAACAGCAACUGGGGAGACACCGUUCGCCUUGGCUUUUGGACAUGAAGCGGUCAUACCAGCCGAGAUAGGAACGACCACGCACCGGACAGAUCAUUUCAAUGAGCAGGAGAAUGACGAGCAAAUGUGUUUGAAUCUAGAUCUGCUAACGGAAAAAAAAGGGAGCAAGCAGCCGAGCGAUCAGCCAUAUACCAGCAGAGGGUUGCUUGGUAUUACAACCAGAAGGUGAAUGUACGGCAGUUCAAGGUCGGAGAUUGGGUGCUAAGGAGAGUGAAUCAGAACACGAAAGACUCGGCCUAGGGAGUACUCGGACCAAAUUGGGAGGGGCCAUAUAGGGUUAAGCAGCUAGUUGGACCCGGAGCUUACAAGCUGGUUCGCUCGGAUGGCCACGAGGUGAAACGCUCAUGGAACGCAGCACACCUCAGGAAAUAUUUCCAGUAAGAAUUGUUCAUGUUUUCAAGUUAUUUCUGUUCGUGUUCGUUAUUAUUUAUUUUAUGUCCAAGUAAUUUCAUGUAAGAUGAAUCCUGCAAUUAAUGAAACGUCGAGGAAUUUCAUUCACUUGAAACUGUGAAAAAUAUCUAAGGCAUGCAAAAGCUCACUAAGUCUCAAAGCCUGUUUAUGGCGAGACCAGAAGCCAAGUGUGCCAGGAUCUACUCGACCGCGCGAAGGUGAGCAGAAUCCCAAGCAUUGAAGAAUUCACUAAGGCAUGUAAAGGCUCACCAAGUCUCAAAGCUUGUUUAUGGCGAGACUAGAAGCCAAGCGUGCCAGGAUCUGCUCGACCGCGCGAAAGCGAGCAGAAUCCCAAGCAUUGAAGAAUUCACUAAGGCAUGCAAAGGCUCACCAAGUCUCAAAACCUGUUUAUGGCGAGACCAAAAGCCAAGUGUGCCAGGAUCUGCUCGACCACGCGAAGGUGAGCAGAAUCCCCAAGCAUCGAAAUAUUUUCUAAGGCAUGCAAAGGCUCACCAAGUCUCAAAGCCUGUCUAUAGCGAGACCGGAAGCCAAGCAUGCCAGGAUUUGCUCGACCAAGCAAAGGCGAGCAGAAUCCCAAGUCAUGUAGCAAGACCAUUUGCCAAGCCAGAGCCUGCUCGACCAAGCGAAGGCGAGCAGACUCUCAAACGAAAAAAUAACUUGUAAAUACAAACGCAAGAAAGUAAUCAAAAACAAUUUUAAUUAAUUUAUCAAUAACCAAUAAAGAUGUUCAUUACAACACAAGAAACAUGUUCAAGAAGACGGCGGAUCAGUAAGCCGAGCAGCAUCAGUUGGCUGGACCUCCUCAAGUGCAGGGGAGGUAUCACCAGUUGCGUCCGGGGGGGUGCUCGCCUCACCAACAUCAGCAGGGAUUGCACGAGGAGGAGAGUUUUCCUCCUCAACCACGAUUGGCUCCACCCCUUCGGCAUCUUCCUUUGCCGCCUCCUCGUCCAUGUGUUGAGCAACACCAGCUGCAAGGUCAUCCAUCUUCAGAUCAGGAUGCUGCUUCCCGAGGAUGACCAUAAUGCAACGAUAGGAAUGCUGAAGUCCCUGGUCGUACUGGUUUUCGGCUUCCUUCUCCAAGUUCUCGACCUGAGCUCGGUGGGAAUCGCGGAGAUAUUCGAGCUGAGCCUCGUACAUAACCUUCUGCCUUUGCAGAUCUUCCUUAACCUUAGUCAGCUCUUCCUCGAGAGUAAUGGCCUUUGCUUGAGCAAGAGAUUCUUGCUCUAUCAGUUUUAAAUUCUCGAGAUUCAAGUCUCCUGCUCUCUUCUCGAUAGCAUCGGCUCUGGUCGUCGCCGAUUGAAUGUUCUCUUUCAUCUUCCGGUCGUAACGGCCAACCUUGGCCUUAUAGUAAGUGGCCAUGCAGCUGAGAUGGAAGGCGCUAUAGUGCAUGGCCCCCACCAGGUCACCCAGGGUACAACCAUCAAAGUUCUCUAUGUCAUUUUUGCUCACGAGUUUAGAUAGCUCGUUGAGGUAGGGGACCAAGUGUUCUGCUCGGCUGUUAGAUAAACGAGAUCUAGGCCCGACAGGAGGAGAAGAGGAAGCAGAAUCAGUGGCUGCUCUACUAGUCUCUCCGGCUUUGGUAGGAGGAGGAGGUAGAGUCUGCAAGGGAGGAACCUGCUGCACAAUGUUCACCCGCUUCGCAGUGGGAGCGUUCUUGUCCUGGUCCAUCUUCGCAGUUUGAGGGCGAGGACGUUUCCGAAUCAGAGCCCCAAUCACAGUACCCUCCAUCUUAUAGCCGGGGGGCACCAAACAAGACUCGAGCAAGUUGUAAGUAGUUAUUAGCUCUCGGCUCGAGCAGGAGUUGGCCAGUAUAGCCUCGACCCGUUUGAGCUGGACAGGUUUGAGCGGGAAGUGAACACCCCAAGAACCUGUAAUACAAACAGACAUUUGGUUAGAAACAAACCAGUAAAGUGAGAACAACUAGGGAGACAAGACAUCUGAAACAAGCAGGCAACCUGGGACCACGAAACAAGGUGGGACGCGAAAAUCCUUCCCAUCAACCUGUGCAACUUGACCCCAGGGACCCCCAGUGAAAAAGAACUUCUUCUUUCAAUUCCCACCACCACCAGUAGGAAGAUUGGUUAUGAGUUUCCUUGUCUUAGUACUUGAUUGGAAGUAAUACCAGCCGGCAUCUUUGGGGCUGCUUUUCAGCUGGUACAGGUGCUUCACCUUGUCGACCGUGGGCUCGCUUUGACAACAUCGGUCCCACAAUAUGAACAGACCAGAGAGCACUCUCCACCCGUUGGGGUUCAGCUGACCAGGAGCUAGAUUUAGCCCAUUAAAUAUCCAGGCAAAAUAAGGUUGCAAGGGACACCUCAGCCCAUACUUAAAGCUCUCCAAAAACAUGGUAACAUAUCCCCUAGGAGGCCGACUAGGAGUAUCAUUCUUUCCUGGGAUCUUAAGAAGUAUCUCACUAGGAAUACUAUACCUAAGCCGGAGGUCAGCGAGCUCAUCAAAUGUGGUCGUGCACGUGAUGUAGUCAAUAGCAUAAUCCCGCGACAAGGUUCUACCUCCUACUGUACCUCGCCCUUCUGGUCGCGAUGUUCCCGGUGAGGAUUCCCCACCAGAAUCACCUCUUUGAUCCUCACUCAAGGUGUCUUCCGAGCCAGAAGGUCCCUCCUCACUACUAUUUCCACUCGUGGAGGUUGUUUGGGGGGACACCCUCCUAGCGCUAGUCCCAACGCGGCUGUUAGAUAAACGAGAUCUAGGCCCGACAGGAGGAGAAGAGGAAGCAGAAUCAGUGGCUGCUCUACUAGUCUCUCCGGCUUUGGUAGGAGGAGGAGGUAGAGUCUGCAAGGGAGGAACCUGCUGCACAAUGUUCACCCGCUUCGCAGUGGGAGCGUUCUUGUCCUGGUCCAUCUUCGCAGUUUGAGGGCGAGGACGUUUCCGAAUCAGAGCCCCAAUCACAGUACCCUCCAUCUUAUAGCCGGGGGGCACCAAACAAGACUCGAGCAAGUUGUAAGUAGUUAUUAGCUCUCGGCUCGAGCAGGAGUUGGCCAGUAUAGCCUCGACCCGUUUGAGCUGGACAGGUUUGAGCGGGAAGUGAACACCCCAAGAACCUGUAAUACAAACAGACAUUUGGUUAGAAACAAACCAGUAAAGUGAGAACAACUAGGGAGACAAGACAUCUGAAACAAGCAGGCAACCUGGGACCACGAAACAAGGUGGGACGCGAAAAUCCUUCCCAUCAACCUGUGCAACUUGACCCCAGGGACCCCCAGUGAAAAAGAACUUCUUCUUUCAAUUCCCACCACCACCAGUAGGAAGAUUGGUUAUGAGUUUCCUUGUCUUAGUACUUGAUUGGAAGUAAUACCAGCCGGCAUCUUUGGGGCUGCUUUUCAGCUGGUACAGGUGCUUCACCUUGUCGACCGUGGGCUCGCUUUGACAACAUCGGUCCCACAAUAUGAACAGACCAGAGAGCACUCUCCACCCGUUGGGGUUCAGCUGACCAGGAGCUAGAUUUAGCCCAUUAAAUAUCCAGGCAAAAUAAGGUUGCAAGGGACACCUCAGCCCAUACUUAAAGCUCUCCAAAAACAUGGUAACAUAUCCCCUAGGAGGCCGACUAGGAGUAUCAUUCUUUCCUGGGAUCUUAAGAAGUAUCUCACUAGGAAUACUAUACCUAAGCCGGAGGUCAGCGAGCUCAUCAAAUGUGGUCGUGCACGUGAUGUAGUCAAUAGCAUAAUCCCGCGACAAGGUUCUACCUCCUACUGUACCUCGCCCUUCUGGUCGCGAUGUUCCCGGUGAGGAUUCCCCACCAGAAUCACCUCUUUGAUCCUCACUCAAGGUGUCUUCCGAGCCAGAAGGUCCCUCCUCACUACUAUUUCCACUCGUGGAGGUUGUUUGGGGGGACACCCUCCUAGCGCUAGUCCCAACGCUAGACCUAAUGGGUUCUAAGGGGAUCCCGGGGUCAAAAGCAGGAUCUGUGAGCAGAUUAGGCAAGAAACCUAGUUCGUCGUCAUCAAUCUCGACGAUUUUUUCUUUACCUUUCGACAUUCCCUAAGUUAUAACCAGAACAACACCACCCACUGCUACCCAAGCAAAGCAAAGAGAAAAGAAAUUAUCUACAACUAUCCGAGACCGAGGAGAUAGAAGUAAUACCUGAAGUAGUAGUGGUUCAGUCGAAAAAAGGCAGGGAAUGAGGCUUUUAUGCCGGAACUUCUUUGCCGGAGAGACAGAGACUGAGACGGAGUAAAUGACGAAUUUUCCCUUUGAGAGGUUUUGGGUUUUCCUAAUGGAGAAUGAACUCUUGGAUUGCCAGCAUUUAACAACACCGAAUCCCAAGGGUCUCAUAACCGUUGGUUUGAAAUUCAAAUAGAGGGGUAAAUUUCUGCCACAUCACCUCGUCCGCAAUUAAAUGCGACACGACUCUUGGCAGCCUUUUCCUAUCCCGCGCGAGCAAGAACUAUCGAGUUUCUACUGUUGGCUCACUACGCUACCCAACACCAGAAACUGGGGGACCGGUGUUUGAGGGAUAUGCUCCGACGAAGACCAGUAGUGAUGAGCAGACAUCUGGUAGCAGGGUUCCGCGAAUAGGUGUAUCUUGUAAGACUCCGGUGGCCGGGGGAGCAGGAGUAGGAAUAUCCUGCUCGUCCGCGAGUACGUCAUCUACGAGGCCAACCUCCUGAUGGAAGCAUAAAGCCAUCCUUGCUAAGGUUUGAGUCGAGGAGACCCAAUCAACGACAGUUGGCGAGACGUGCUCUACAACCCGAGAAUCAAGGCACGAAGGCCACGCAGCCAUCCACGACUGCAGAAAUGGAGCAUCCACUUUCGAGAUGUGAGAGGAUAACGGGCGUGUAUGGAGGGAAGGUCUGGAUGCAGGAGAGGCCUAUAAAAAGGCAGCCAACGAAGGUAAAAGGGUUAGAAUUUUUGAGAUUAGAACUGAGAAAAAAGAGAGAGCUCUAGAGAAUUGAUACGUCAUAAGAUUUGUGGCUAGCAUUCCCAGGAAUACAAAAACCUUCAUUUCUGACUUGAGCGUCAGAGGGUUUACGCUGGGAAAACAACCGGCGUGCUCUGACCUGUUUCGGUGUACGCAGGAACUUUUGGAGAAGAAGCCUUACGAGGAGAGAUCCUAAUCGUGGUAGAGUUGAUCGAGCAGAGAUCCUGGUCGUGUAAGGAGGAUAACCAGAAUCUCGCAUCAACACAAAUAAAUCUAAUUUUUUUUAACUCAUUUUUUAAAUUUUCACUGAAAAAAGUCAAAGAGUUUUCCUAAUUAAAUUAGCCUUAAAUCUAGAAUCCGUCAAAUAUUUGUUCUGUUUUUUUUUUCCAAAAUAGUUCACUUGAUCCUCCUCUUGUCUGUAUAUGCUAAUUGUCACCUGGCAUUUUGUUUAUUUUCCUUCUGUACUUAAUAAUGGGUUACAAAAAAACCUAUAGAUUAUUAGGAAGACUUCUGGCCAAUAGCUUCAAUUACUAUGCAAAAAUUGAAUCAAUAAUUGUUAGAUUAACCAUAUUGUAUGUUUGAAAUAAGGACCUUUUUAAUUCAUCACUUGAAAAUCGAAGGAGAAUGUUAUUUUGACAAAAAAUUGGGUUACAAAAUUUUGACUAAAAGCAUUAUAAAAAUAAAAGUUGCUUUAUAACUGCCCUAGUAUUUUAGUUUUUCUAUGCAUUUGUCAAGAUUUUGCAACCUUUUUUUUUUCCUUCUCUGGUCGAAGUAACGUUGUUAAAUUAUCCUAAGUUCCCAACUCUACAAAUCAAAAGUUAUUUGUGUUUCACUUCUUCACGAAUACUUCACUAAUAAAAAGCCUUUCACUUACGUAAUAAAAUUUGUUCCUACAAAAAUACAAUUCAAAACCCCCUCAAAAUCGGUACAUAAUCCAAACUCCACCGUCACGCGGCAUGAUUCAUGUUUCAUCUCCAUCUCAUUAUAAUCUGUAAAUGGGAAUAUAUAUAAAGUUGAUGAACUCAACAAAAUCUUAAAAGAAAAAAAAUAUACACAAAGACCCAAUUGCCAUACGUGUGUGUAAAUACUAAAUUGGAGAUUUGAAGGGUCUUAGAAGAUAUAAAAAAUUCUUAGUGAUUUUUUUUUAAUUGACAACUUAAUUAAUAACUAUUUAACAAAAAUGUGAGUGAGCACAAAAACACAUGCAGAUCUAUUCAAUCCCCAAAAUUAGAAAGCAAAAUCUACCGGCUUAACCCUCGGUUUCCCGCGGUUUAUACACUGUCUAAUAUUUUUCGGUAUGUUUUAUAAGUAAAAGACGUUUUGAUCCCUAAAAUACCCUGAUUGAUGGUGUAUGGGCAAAUAUUUUUAACAUAAUUUUAUAACUAAUAGUCUUUGAUUGAGAAAAAUAAAAAUAUGUGUACCUUAGCUUUGUUCUUCCGACACAAAAACAUUGUAGUUUAGUGUGAAUAAUUAUAAAAAAUAGAUAAAAUUAUUGUUUAAAGGUUUCUGUAUUUUUCAAUAUUCGAAUUCGAAUAUACAAUCAAAGAUAGUUAUUUAAAACCCACUCAAAUACUUGGGAGUAACAAUUAUUCAUAAUCUCCAUCUAAUGCUUUCUCAUAACAAACAUAUCAUAAACUACUAAUGUAAUUAUUACAAAUUUUUUAUCAAAAAUUUCCAAAACCCUAGAAAAAAUUUCAUUAAAAUGCACCUUGUACAUUAAUAAUCACUACAAUAAACACCGGGGUAUUAUCGUAAUAUCAUUCUUACAGUUACGACCUAAAUGGUCCAAACAAAAGAAUAAAAAACGCGCGCAGUUAAAUGAGUUUAUGUGAGCGGCAGAAGAGAGAGAAAAGACCGUCCUACGUGGCAAUCUCUCUCUCUUCCCCCCUCAGCUUUCGUUCCUUUCUUUUUGAGCUCUUCCUUAACUCUCUCUCUCUCUCUCUCUCUCUCUCUACAUAUAAAAAUGCAAAGCCUCUCUCUCUCUCUUCCUCAGUAACCUCUAAAGUUCCUCUCCCUCUUCAUCUUCCUCGAAUCUAUUUUUAGCGUACCCUUUAAGCCUCUCAUUCUAUUUUUCAUUCGAAAAGCAAAAAACUCAACACCCAUUUUUAUUUUUUUAACCCAUUUGUUGUUACUUCUCCUUUGUUGCUUUUUCAUUGCUUUGAUUCCUGGCGUUUAUCUCUUCAACAAAACCUUCGUUUCUUGGCAUUUUUGGUUUCUUUUAAUGCACAUUCUUCAUGUUACUUGAAUCCUUUUACCAAAAAGUCACCUUUUUAAACCCCAAAACUUAAUCUUUUUGCUCUGUUUUUGAACCAGAUUUUUCUGUUCUUUUUUUUUUUUUCAUUUUUAUCAAGAGACUGCCAACAUGUUUGACGUAGGGAGAUCAAAAUUCUAUAAGAAAAUGUAUGUUCAAAAGAUAAACCCUAAAUUGGCCUUCUAUUUCUUUUUGUUAAUCUUUUGUAUUCUCUCUCUUUUUUCUUUUUUUUCCUUUCCUCACAUUUUUUAUUUUUGUUGCAGUAAACAUUUGUUGAAGCUUUCGAAGACAAGAGUGGAAACAAUUGUAAAGAAGAGGAAUGCGGUUCAGAAGUACUUGAAGAAUGACAUUGCUGAGCUUCUCAGGAAUGGCCUUGAUGUUAAUGCUUAUGGCAGGGUAAUUUCUUGUUUAUUUAUUUAUUUUGGUGUCAUUUGUGUUUUAUUUGUAUGAUUGUUACUUCUGUAUGUCUAAUAUUUUAUUAAAUUUUAAGAAAUAUUGAUCCACGGUUGAAUUCUCAUGAUCUUUGUUAAUUCCAUGCUCUGCUUCAUGAUUUUUUUCUCUUUAUUUCUGAUUUUUAAUAAUAUCUAUGAAUGGCAUAAUAUGGUUAAUAUAUCAAACUUUUUUUGUUUUAAUUUUCUUAUCUUUGAGUUGCAUUAUUUUCUUUUUUUUUUUAAUUUUUUUCAUUUUCAUCUUCCGUUUAAUAAUCAGAAAGUGAUGCAAUUUUCUCUUUGUUUUCUUUAUAUUUAAUAUGCAACUUGAAGUUUCUAUUAUAAUAAGAUAUGGAAUUUAGAUGUUGUUUGUUUCUGCUGAGAUAACAUGACUUUUCAAUAAAUUUUGUACUUCUCUAAUUAAUUCACAUGGCACGUUACAAUUUGCUUGUUCUUACACCAGCAAAAUAACUUUUCGUAGGGCCUUUAUGUCAUAUCUAAUCAUGCAUGUAUGUAUUCUAGUGCCUUCAAAUCCACCUUCUUUCAUAAACUAGAAAUUUAUUUCUAUUUAUGGCACUGCUAUGAACUGUAUUUUGUGAUUUUGUCCAUGUGAUUUAGUCAUGACAAUCAUGAGAAAUUGUUUCCGGAUAGUUGUUUGUUAUGGAAGAUUACAUCUCUUCUGGAGUUUGUGGUUUCUUUAUAUGUCGUUCCCAAAAAUAAGCUCCCUAAAGGAGGUGCUUGAUUGUCUGUUACAGGGCUGCCACAAUAGGUUUCAUGUGUUCUGGAGACAUGUCCUUUUGUUUUAAUCGAGAUUUUGUUUCUAUUACACCUGAUUGUUACUGUGCUUGGCAUUGGCAUUUUUUAUCAUUCCUCUGUUUGCAUAUACAUCAUUGCAAUUUAUUUUGAUGUAUUUUUCUUCACACACUCGUAUGAGAUACAAAAAUGGACCACUUUGAGAUGUAAAUAAUAUUAACUCUGUUUUAAGGUGUAUAUAUGGACAUUUUCCUAAUUUAAUUUGUUUGACAAGCUAGUUACGAGAUGAGAUAAUCAAAUGAUUUAAAAUGCUUGUACUGUGUUGUGUAUCUAUAUAACGGUACCCUGUUAUUAACUUUUUCCUAAUUUAAUCUGUUUGACAAGCUAGUUACAAGAUGGGAUAAGCAAAUGAUUUAAAAUGCUUGUAAUGUGUUGUGUAGCUAUAUAAUUGUACCCUGUUAUUUAGCUAUGUUAGGAACUAUAACACAGCUGAAAGUUUAUAUUUGGCAUAAAGAAAUCUCAUUUUGCCUCUGUAUUAUACAGUACACAUGCCAAAAACUUAUUUAUUUCUCAUGGAUGGUGAAACAGGCUGAAGGGCUUCUGGUAGAGCUAAACUGGUCGACUUGUUACAAUUUCAUUGAGCAGUGUGUUGGGUGUAUCUUAGGCAAGCUUGCAGCCAUGGAAAGUCAAAGGUUUAGUGACCAUCUAACCUACUAUGGAAUGGCUUCCGUCCAUUUUUCAGAACUAUCAUACUUCAUUCUGGUGUCUCAUAAAAUUAACCCUCACCUCCAUUCACCGAAGCAUGGUUCAGAAGCCAUGGGUUCAAAUGAACAAAGAUGCAUGCAUGCAUGCAUACGUUUGGGAAGAAAAAUUUUCUGCCUUGGUUGAUUUUUGUUGAAAUGUGUAUUAUAGUAAAAUGAAGGAACCCAUAAAGAAAUCCAAAAAGACCAUUCAAUUGCUACUGAUUAUGAUUUUUCAUAUUGUUGAACAUCUAUAUUAGGCUGCAGACAAAUUCUGCUUUUUUAUGUUCGACCGAAUUCUUUGCUUCUUGCUUUGAAUACCUUUUGCCUCAACCACGUAGCUGGGUUUCUCAUAUCAUCUACUUUGAAAUCAAUUAUAUUUCAGGGAAUGUCCUAAUGAAUGCAAAGAAGCUGUACAAUCUUUGAUGCACAGUGCAGCAAGAUUUGCUGACAUGCCAGAACUACGUGAACUCAGAACUGUAUUUACUGAGAGAUAUGGGAAUUCCCUCGAACCUUUCCUCAAUAAAGAGGUGAGAAUCCAUGACUUUUCUCCAACAGUUAGAUCUCUUUUCUGCCUAGGAUCUUGUUUUUAGCACUGACUAGUGAAUUAUUUUUAUGUAGUUUGCUGAGAAAUUAAGGUCGGGCCCUCCCUCAAAGGAGAAGAAGCUUCAGUUACUACACGAUAUCUCACAAGAAUACUCCCUAGCAUUUGAUCCUGUGUCUUUGGAACAGAAAAUGUUUAAACCGCCACCACCUGCACAAGUUAGUUUCCUUGUCAUUGACCUAAAUGAUUCUAUCUUCAUACAGGAUGGAAAUCUGCUUUCUUUAGUCCCCAACCUUCUCCAAGAUGAAAUUUUUUGAAUCCUUUGCUGGAUUAAGUAAAGGCAUAGAGACAUCCUGAGAAGUAGCUUUUAGACAAAGUAACUUGUAGCAAAAGUCCCAGCUUAAACUUGUUGAAUACAAUGUUAAUUUUGAAGUGUCUUAUGUCUCCAGUUGUUCUGCCUGGAUACUAAAAUUUACCUCACAUUCAGCUUCUGUAAUGCUGUAAUUGAUCAUGCUUUUAACGAUUAUCUUGUUUUGCUAAUACACUUGCAACAUGGAUGAAUAUUCUGCAGGAAAAGCAUAAGCGGAGAUCUUCCAAUGAUGCAGAGGAUGAUGGAUACAACCGGCACAGACGAAAGGAUGAAGCUUUGCCAGAAAGAGCUGGCCACGAUAGGGGGAAUAGAGUGAGUAACUUGACGGAAAAGCCUAAGCGUGGAUCUUCCUAUGAUGCAGAGGAUGAUGGAUCCAACCAGCACAGAAGAAAAGAUGGUGCUUUGCCAGAAAGAGAUGGCCGCACUAGGGGGAACAACAUGAGUAACCUGAGGGACUGUGAUGAGCCAAAAAGAAAUGAAAAGGACUUAAGAUAUUGUGGAAGGAAAGUUGUCCCUAAUGAUAGAUAUAAUAUACCUAGUUGUAGUGAGGAUGAAGAGCAUGGCAACAACAGAAGAAACAGCCCCAGCCAUGAUAGUCAACAAACUAGUUCAAGUUCAGUUGGAAGUUUUUCUGAGGAGGAAGUGGAUAGCAGGAAGCCCUUUUCCUAUGGGUCUAUCCCUCCGCCUUAUGUCAGACGGAAUGCCGAGCAAAAUAAUCUUCAUUUUCCUAUGGAAAGGGUUGGAUUUAUGGCGGAAUGACAAAAAGAGAAACACAAUAAAACUCUCCGAUUAGGGAUUUAAGACGAAAGAGGGAACAUAGGCGUUUAAGUUACACAUGUGUCAGUUCAAUCGCUGCGUAUCGAGGACAGAUAAGACGCCGAUUUAAAUUUCAAAUACAGAAGAUAGAAAGUGCCACGUCAUCGACAAUUAAGACGACAUGAUGGGAUGUCAGCCCGGCUGUGUAAUGGACCCGCUCACGAAGGCCCAUCCGCAGACUAGAAACUCUCUAAAUAGAAAACAUCACCUCGGGUCCAUCACAAUAAAACAAAGACCAGAAGGAUGCUACCCGGGGAUGGCCAGAUUCAAUUCUUAUUUUCUAGUCUCAACUCGUUUCACUCGCAAGACCAGAAACUGGGGGACUGGUGUUGAGUCAUAAAAAGUACUCGUUAGGCAUCUCCUCAUUUCUCACCCUGGAGUGAAUCUCCCCAGCUGAAUGGCACGAGCAGAUUCCUGGUAAUGCAUCUUGUGCGGAGCACAUGCCGACUAGAAACGAAUACCGACCAGAGGUACAUAUCGAUCAGGUACUCAUUACUCAAAGAAAGAGGACACGAUCUCACGAACUCACGAUAAUUUCGCCAUGCCCCAAACCGCUUGGAAGAACAUGAUGCCCCACGUUUAUCCACGAUUUGGUGGUUGGAGACCCAUGAGGGUCCGUCAUCAACCGAAAAUGAAGGGCAUGAAAAAUACACAGAAAAUGUGGGAUGAUUGCCUAUAAAAGGCCAAGAAAUCAAUGGAGAAUGGGAGACAAAAAUGGAGGGAGAAGGGGAAACUCUGCCAAAUUAAAAUCGUAAUUCAUUUAAUCCAGAUCCUUGGUACACAUUGUGUUGAGAACAUUGCAAUUAAUUUGUUCAACUUAAACCAUAUAGUUUUCCCAUAAACAUCUUGUACUGACUUAAGCAUCGAAGGGUUAAACAUCUUGUACUAAUGUCCCAAAAAAAUUUUUUUAGGGUAAAAAUGUCCCAACGAUUUUUUAUUUCAAUCUAUGUACUUCAACAGAAAUGUAAUUAAAAAAAGGGUAAUUAAAAACGAUUUUUUUCAUUAACGACUGUUUUUAAUUAAAAAAAAAAAUUGGAAAUGUUGACACAUAAAUUUUGAACAGGAAAUUUUUCAAACUUUAAUUAACUUAAUACAUUAUUAUUUUUUUUAGUUUCUCCUUGUCCCCAUCGAAGUUUAACUUAUCAAGCAUUUUCCUUUUUGUUUUAUUAUCUGUUUCGCAUUAAUAAUUAGGAGUCACGUGGUCUCAUAAAUAUACAACGACAUCUAUAUAUCUAUAAUGUGAUAUUUUUGAAAAAACACCACUCGUUAAACAACACGUGUCGACAAUAAUGUGACCAUACGCGGUGUUUUGAGUGAAUGACUCCCCGAACUCCCAUGUGAGCAUUAAAUGCGUUACUCGAGUCAAAUAAGUCAACGUCUGCUAUAGUCAGUCACAAAAGGCGCGUGUUUAUUCUAUCUUGUUGCUGUUGAUCUGUUUAAGUGAGUAAUUUAAUUAGAUCAAAUUAGGAAUUCUUCAUCGCAAAUCAGAUCAAUUGAUUUGUCUCAAUUGUUAGUUUAGUUUGGAAAUUGUCCGUUAACCUUUACAAACUUUCUUCGUUUCAGUAAAUGAAUGAUUUAUAAAAUCAUAUAUAUUACACAUAAGAAUAUAAUAAAUUCUCAAAAUUUACCAAAUAUCUGCAUACAUAUUGUUGAUGCGAGAUUCUGGUUGUCCUCGUUCUACGACCAGGGUCUCUGCUCGAUCAACUUCACCACGAUCAAGAUUUCUCUUCGUAAAGCUUCUUCUCCCGAGGUUCCUGCGUACACAGACAGGUCAGAGUACGCCGGUUGUUUCCCCAGCGCAAACCCUCCGACGCUCAAGUCAGAAAUGAAGGCUCUGGGAAUCUUUGCCACGAAUCUUAUGGCCUUUUUUUUAAUCUCAGUUCUUAGAGUUAUCUUUUCUCAGUUCUAAUAGUAAAAGUUCUAACCCUUUUCCCUUCGUUGGCUACCUUUUUAUAGGCUUCCUCUGAAUCCCAGUCUUCCGUAGUCCACGCCCAUUAUUCUGCCCACCCUCGGAUGUGGAUGCCCCAAUGUCGUCAUUGUAGGCGAAUGGAGAUGGACUUCGUGCCUUGAUUCUGCCUCUAACAGGAGUUCGUCCUCGUUUCUGGUCUCGCCGAAGUAUUUCCCUCAAACACCGGUCCCCCAGUUUCUAGUGUUGGGUAAUGUAAUGGACCAGCAGUAGAAACUCAACAGUUUUUGCUCGCGUGGGACUGGAAAAGGCUGCCAAGAGUCGUGUCGUAUUUAAUUACGGAUGCGGUGAUGUGGCAGAAAUCUACCCCUCCAUUUGAAUUUCAAACCUACGGUUGCAAGAUUCUUGGAAUAUGCGUCAUUAAAUACUGGCAGCCCAAGAGUUUGCUUCUCAGUAAGAAAACCCAAAGUCUUCAAACACGAACUCGUCAUUUUCUCCAUUCUUGUCUCUCCGGCGAAUGAACCUCGGCAUUAAAGCUGUCAUCCCUGUCUCUCUCUGACCGAGUCCCUGCUUCAGGUAUUUCUUCUAUUUUCCCGGUCUUGGUUGGUUGUAGAUAAUUUCUUUUCUCUUUGCUUUGCUUGGGGUAGUAGUUGGCGGUGGCGUUUUGGUUAUUAUUUAGGGAAUGUCGAAGGGUAAGGAGAAAGUCGUCGAGAUUGAUGACGACGAAAUAGGUUUCUUGCCUAAUCUGCUCACUGAUCCUGCUUUUGACCUCGGGAUCCCCUUAGAGCCCAUUAGGUCUAGUGUCGGGACUAGUGCUAGGAGGAUGUCCCCCCAAACAACCUCCACGAGCGGAAGUAAUGAUGAGGAGAGAUCUUCUGGCUCUGAAGGUACCUUGAGUGAGAAUGAGGAAGGUGAUUCUGGUGAGGUGUCUCCAUCUGGAACACCACGACCAGAAGAACGGGGUACAGUAGGAGGUAGAGCCUUGUCGCGUGAUUAUGCCAUUGAUUACAUGUCGUGUACGACCACGUUUGACGAGCUCAAUGACCUCCGACUUAGGUAUAGUAUUCCUGGUGAGAUACCUCUUAAGAUCCCAGGAAAGAAGGAUACACCUAGCCGGCCUCCUAAGGGAUACGUUAUCUUGUUUCUGGAGAGCUUUAAGUAUGGGCUGAGGUGUCCCUUACAACCUUACUUUGCCCGGAUACUUAACGGGCUAAAUCUGGCUCCUGGUCAGCUGAACCCCAAUGGGUGGAGAGUGCUCUCUGGUCUGUUCAUAAUGUGGGACAGAUGUUGCCAAAGCGAGCCCACGGUUGAUGAGGUGAAGCACCUGUACCAGCUGAAGAGCAGCCCUAAAGAUGCCGGCUGGUACUACUUUUAAUCUAGUACCAAGAGUAGGAAACCCAUAACUAAUCUUCCAACUGGUGGUGGUGGGACUUGGAAGAGGAAAUUCUUUUUUGCUGGGGGUCCUUGGGGUCAAGUUGCACAAAUAGACGGGAAGAAUUGUCGCGUCCCACCCCGUUUCACGGUCCCAGGUUGCCUGCUCGCUUUAGAUGUCUUGUAUCUAUAAUUGUUCUUGCUUUAUUGGUUUGUCUCUAACCAAGUGUCUGUUUGUGCUGUAGUUUCUUGGGGUGUUCAUUUCCCGCUCAAGCCUGAUCAACUCAAACGGGUCGAGGCUGUACUAGCCAACUUCUGCCCGAGCCGAGAACUGAUAACUAUUUACAACUUGCUCGAGUCUCGCUUGGUACUCCCUGGCCAUAAGAUGGAGGACGCUGUGAUUGGGGCUCUGAACAGAAAACGUUCUCGACCUCAAACCACGAAGAGGGACCAGAGCAAGGACGCCCCUACUGCAAAGCGGGCCAACAUCGUACAACAAGUCUCUCCCUUGAAGACUUUACCUCAUGCUCCUGCCAAAGUCGGGGAAACUAGUGGAGCAGCCACAGAUCCUGCUUCCUCUUCUCCUCCUGUCGGGCCUCGAUCUCGCUUACCUGACAGCCGAGCAGAACACUUGGUCCCCUGUCUCAAUGAGUUAUCUAAACUCGUGAGCAAGAAGGACCUGGAGGACUUUGAUAGCUGCACCCUGGGCGAGCUGGUGGGAGCCAUGCAGUAUAGCUCUUUCCAUCUCAGCUGCAUGACCACCUACUAUAAGGCUAAGGUUGGCCGUUAUGACAGGAAGAUGAAGGAGGACAUUCAGUCGGCGAUGACCAGAGCUGACGACGCCGAGAGGAAAGCAGGAGAGCUGAAUAUCGAGAACCUGAAGCUGAUAGAACAAGAAUCUCUUGCUCAAGCAAAAGCCAUUACCCUCGAGGAGGAGCUGACCAGGGUCAAUGAGGAUCUUCAAAGGCAGAAGGCUAUGUAUGAAGCUCAGCUCGAAUCUCUCCGCGAUUCCCACCGGGUUCAGGUCGAGAAUCAGUACGAUUAGGGACUUCGGUAUUCUUAUCGUUGCAUCAUGGCCGUCCUCGGGAAGCAGCAUCUUGAUCUAAAGAUGGACGACCUUGCAGCUGGUGUCGCCCAACAUAUGGACGAGGAGGCUGCAAAGGAGAAUGCCGAAGAGAUGGCACCAAUGGUGAUAGAGGAGGAAAACUCUCCUCCCCGUUGGACCAGCUAACUGAGGCUGCUCGGCUCGCGGACCCACCGUCUUCUUAAAUAUGUUUCUUGUAUUGUAACGAACAAUAUUUGUGAAGAUUAUCUGCUUUGUUAAUUAUUAACAAAUUAAUAGAAAUGUUUUUUAUUACUCUCUUGUGUUGUAAUUACGAGUUAUUUUUCCGCUUGAGAGUCUGCUCGUCUUCGUCUGGUCAAGCAGGCUCUGGCUUGGUAUAUGGUUUUGCCACAUGCCUUAGAAGAUUCUUCAAUGUUUGGGAUUCUGCUCGCCUUUGCGUAGUCGAGCAGAUCCUGAUACGCUUGGCUUAUGUCUCGCCAUAAAACAAGCUUUGAGACUUGAUGAGCCUUUGCAUGCCUUAGGUAAUCUCUGCAAUGAUUGGGAUUCUGCUCGCCUUCUCGUGGUCGAGCAGAUCCUGGCAUGCUUGGCUUCUGUCUCGCCAUAAAACAGGCUUUGAGACUUGAUGAGCCUUUGCAUGCCUUAGAAGAUUCUUCGAUGAUUGGGAUUCUGCUCGCCUUCGCGUGGUCGAGCAGAUCCUGGCACACUUGGCUUCUGUCUCGCCAUAAAACAGGUUUUGAGACUUGAUGAGCUUUUGCAUGCCUUAGAUAAUAUUUUGAUGACAGUAUGGCUGACUGAAAUUCCUCAUUAAUCCUUUUAUUGUCGAAUUCGGCUUACAUGAGAUCGCUUUGACAUAAAGUAAAUAAAAACAAACACGAACAGAAAGAACUUGAAAAUAUGAACGACUCUUACUGGAAAUAUUUCCUGAGAUGUGCUGCGUUCCAGGGGCGCUUCACCUCGUGGCCAUCCAUGCGAACCAACUUGUAAGCUCCUGGUCCAACUAGCUGCUUGACCCUGUAUGGCCCCUCCCAAUUCGGUCCGAGCACUCCUUGAGUUGAGUCUUUGGUAUUCUGAUUCACUCUCCUUAACACCCAAUCUCCGAUCUUAAACUGCCGCACAUUCACCUUCUGGUUAUAAUACCGUGCAACCCUCUGCUGGUAAAUGACUGAUCGCUCGGCUGCUUGCUCCUUUUUUUCCGUUAGCAAGUCCAAAUUCAAACACAUCUGCUCGUCGUUUUCCUGCUCGUUGAAAUGGUCUGUUCGGUGUGUGGUCGUUCCUAUCUCAGCUGGUAUGACCGCUUCAUAUCCGAAAGCCAAGGCGAACGGUGUCUCCCCCGUUGCUGUCUUAUGGGUUGUCCUGUAUGCCCAUAGUACGCCUGAUAGCUCAUCAACCCAAGCACCCUUCUUUGCUCCAAGCCUGGUUUUCAAAAGCCUCUUGAUCGUCUUGUUGGCUGCUUCUACUUGUCCGUUAGAUUGAGGGUGAGCAGGCGAGCAAUACUUCAACUAUAUCCCGAGGUUCUGGCAGAAAUCCCUGAAGCUGUGAUUAUCGAACUGCCUACCAUUAUCCGUUAUCAAGGCAUAAGGAAUCCCGUACCGACAGACCAGGUUUCUCCACACAAAGUCUGUUGUUUUCUUCUCUGUGAUCCUGCUAAGGGCUUCUACCUCUAUCCACUUCAUGAAGUAGUCUAUAGCAACUAUUGCAUGAGUUGCUGCUCCUCGUCCCUUUGGCAACGGCCCGAUCAGAUCAAUUCCCCAUUGAGCAAAUGGCCAAGGGGAUGCCAUGGAGGUAAGCUUCUCUGGUGGUUGAUUGGAGAAACUUGCAAAACUCUGGCAGCUUACACAGCUCCUGGUCUUCCCUUGCGUAUCCUGGUGCAUUGUCGGCCAGAAAUAUCCAUGUCUUAGAACCUUGUGAGCCAGGGACCUCCCACCAGAAUGAUUUCCACAAAUCCCUUCAUGUACUUCUCUCAGUACGUAAUCUGCGUCGUCCUCAUCCAAACAUCGAAGGAAAGGUAGUGUAUAUCCUCGCCGAUACAGUACCCCAUCAAUCAUCGUGUAUCUCGAGGCCUGGGCUCUAACCUUCCGAGCUCGCAGUUUAUCUGGUGGUAAUACCCCGUCUCUAAGGUACGAAAUUAUUGGGUCCAUCCACGAGCAUUUUUGUUCUAUCCGUAGCACCCCCAAAUUCUGUUCGAUGCUCGGGCUGGACUUCACCUCCAGGGGGAUCGACUUUGGCAUUUUUGGGUCUGUUACCGCUGCCAUCCUGGCCAAAAUAUCUGCUCGACUAUUCUGCUCCCUAGGGAUUUGUACCACCUCCACUGCUUCGAAUUUCCCCAUCAUCUGCCUGACUAUCUUCAGGUACUGCUCCAUCUUCUCCUCUCUUGGUUGAAAUCUUUCACUGACAUGAUUUGCAACCAGCUGGGAAUCAGUUCUGAUCUUCACUCUGUCUGCUUUCAUGGCCUUAGCCAAUUCCAAACCUGCUAUCAAGGCUUCAUACUCUGCCUGGUUAUUUGUGGCUGCAAAUUCUAACUUUACAGCGUAAGAGAUCUGCUCCCCCUCCGGUCCUUCCAAGACAAUCCCUGCUCCUGAUCCCUGCUCCCCUGAUGACCCAUCUACAGACAUUUGCCACACUUGAGCUUCGCCACUGUCUGUAGCUACCUCUCGUUGAUCCAAACAUACUUCGGGCUCUGUGAAUUCUGCUACGAAAUCGGUCAUUGCCUGAGCCUUUAUCGCUGCUCGGAGUUUGUAGUCUAUGUCGAACUCGCUCAGCUCUACAGCCCACUUGACGAGCCGACCAGAGGCGUCUGGCUUGUGCAGAGUUUGACCAUUCCAAAUUCCAAUCAGACUGCUGUACCGUACAUCCGCCUUGGCCGUACAGCAGUCUGUUGUUUUCUUCUCUGUGAUCCUGCUAAGGGCUUCUACCUCUAUCCACUUCAUGAAGUAGUCUAUAGCAACUAUUGCAUGAGUUGCUGCUCCUCGUCCCUUUGGCAACGGCCCGAUCAGAUCAAUUCCCCAUUGAGCAAAUGGCCAAGGGGAUGCCAUGGAGGUAAGCUUCUCUGGUGGUUGAUUGGAGAAACUUGCAAAACUCUGGCAGCUUACACAGCUCCUGGUCUUCCCUUGCGUAUCCUGGUGCAUUGUCGGCCAGAAAUAUCCAUGUCUUAGAACCUUGUGAGCCAGGGACCUCCCACCAGAAUGAUUUCCACAAAUCCCUUCAUGUACUUCUCUCAGUACGUAAUCUGCGUCGUCCUCAUCCAAACAUCGAAGGAAAGGUAGUGUAUAUCCUCGCCGAUACAGUACCCCAUCAAUCAUCGUGUAUCUCGAGGCCUGGGCUCUAACCUUCCGAGCUUGCAGCUUAUCUAGUGGUAAUACCCCAUCUCUAAGGUACGAAAUUAUUGGGUCCAUCCAUGAGCAUUUUUGUUCUAUCCGUAGCACCCCCAAAUUCUGUUCGAUGCUCGGGCUGGACUUCACCUCCAGGGGGAUCGACUUUGGCAUUUUUGGGUCUGUUACCGCUGCCAUCCUGGCCAAAAUAUCUGCUCGACUAUUCUGCUCCCUAGGGAUUUGUACCACCUCCACUGCUUCGAAUUUCCCCAUCAUCUGCCUGACUAUCUUCAGGUACUGCUCCAUCUUCUCCUCUCUUGGUUGAAAUCUUUCACUGACAUGAUUUGCAACCAGCUGGGAAUCAGUUCUGAUCUUCACUCUGUCUGCUUUCAUGGCCUUAGCCAAUUCCAAACCUGCUAUCAAGGCUUCAUACUCUGCCUGGUUAUUUGUGGCUGCAAAUUCUAACUUUACAGCGUAAGAGAUCUGCUCCCCCUCCGGUCCUUCCAAGACAAUCCCUGCUCCUGAUCCCUGCUCCCCUGAUGACCCAUCUACAGACAUUUGCCACACUUGAGCUUCGCCACUGUCUGUAGCUACCUCUCGUUGAUCCAAACAUACUUCGGGCUCUGUGAAUUCUGCUACGAAAUCGGUCAUUGCCUGAGCCUUUAUCGCUGCUCGGAGUUUGUAGUCUAUGUCGAACUCGCUCAGCUCUACAGCCCACUUGACGAGCCGACCAGAGGCGUCUGGCUUGUGCAGAGUUUGACGCAAUGGCUGGUUUGUUAUUACCGAGACUGGGAAUGCUUGGAAGUAUGGUCUCAGCUUCCGAGCAGCAACCACAAGGGCAAGUGCCCAUUUUUUCAACGGUGGGUAUCUGGUCUCAGCGUUGAGCAGGGCCUUGCUGGUGUAGUAUAUCGGAUAUUGAACCCCUUCUUCCUCUCUCACCAGAACAGAACUUGUGGCCCGAUCUGAUACCGCCAAAUACAGAAAUAACUUUUCCCCAUCCCUCGGUGUGAACAGCAGAGGUGCUUGCUGCAAGUAUUGCUUCAAGUUCUGGAAGGCUUCCUCGCAUUCUGGAGUCCACUCUGUUUUCUUUCCCCUCCUUAUCACUUGAAAGAACGGCUGACACUUGUAGCCUUGGAUAUGAAUCUGCUCAAUGCCGCCAACCUCCCCGUGAGGCUCUGCAUCUCCUUAAGGCUACGAAGAGAGCUCAUCUGUACGAUCGCCUGGAUCUUCUCGGGAUUUGCUUCAAUUCCCCUAUGGCUCACCAUAAAUCCAAGGAACUUCCCUGACUCGACCCUAAAAGCACACUUCUCUGGGUUGAGCUUCAUUUUAUACUUCCUCAAAAGCCCAAAUGUCUCCUCGAGGUGUCCGACAUGUUCCUUCGGGAUUUUGGACUUGGUGAUCAUGUCAUCCACGUACACCUCCAUGGUUUUCCCGAUCAACGGCUUAAAGACCUUAUUCACCAGCCUCUGAUAGGUGGCUCCAUCAUUUUUUAGACCAAAUGGCAUUACCCUGUAACAGAAUAAACUCUGGUUAGUGAUAAAAGCAGUGCUCUCCUCAUCCUGCUCGUACAUGGGGAUUUAGUUAUAUCCCGAGAACGCGUCCAUGAAGCUAAGCAAACCGUGCCCAGCUGUUGAAUCUACUAACUGGUCGAUUUUUGGCAAAGGGAAACUGUCUUUCGGGCAUGCUUUAUUGAGAUCUGUAAAAUUCACACACAUCAUCCACUUGUCAUUCGCCUUCUUUACCAACACCACAUUCGAUAUCCACUCGGGAUAAUUGACUUCCCGAAUGAAUCCUGCUCUCAAGAGCUUUUCUACCUCGCCAUUUAUAGCCUCAUACCUCUUCUGGUUGAAGCACCUCCUCUUCUGUCUUACUGUCCGAGCACCUUUCUUUAUUGCCAGCUUAUGACAUGCUACCUCAGGAUCAAUCCUUGGCAUGUCUUCAUGUGUCCAAGUAAACACAUCCGCAUGAGCCUGUACGCAUUUCACCAACUCCUGCUUUUGCUCUUCCUUAAGUUUCGACCCGAUUCUGAUCGUCUUCCCCGGAUUCUCUAGUCUCAGGCUUACUGUCUCCAGAUCCUCUACAAGUUCUUGUCUGCCAUUCUUGUUUUCCACUCGGGUAUCGAGCGAUGUUAUCUGCAUUACUUCCCUUGCUGUCGAGGAGUAGCAACUUCUUACGAUCCUCUGGUCUCUUCGUACCACUCCAACUACCCCAUUCACCCGGUACUUGAGAGCCAGAUAAUGGUUGGACAACACCGCCUUGCUCAUCCUCAGAAAUGGCUGGCCUAGGAUCAUCUGGUAAGGACCUUCCUCAUCCACUACCACAAAGUCCAGUAUCAUUGUCCUUUCUGUCGGGGAGCUCCCAAUCGUGAUAGGUAGCUCGACCACGCCCAGAGGGACUAACUUUCCUCCUCCAAACCCCUUCAAGGAGGUAUUGGUGUAAUCCAACUUCAGAUCUGCUAUUCCCAUUUCCUCCAGGGUUGACUUAAACAACACAUCAACUGAGCUCCCUGUGUCAACCAGUAUCCUGUCAAACUUCUUGCUGGCAACAGUGGCCUUGAUAACCAAAGCAUCCUCGUGAGGGUAUAGAAUCCCUUCUUCAUCCUCAUCUGUCCACAUGAUUGGCACUUGCCUGACUCUGGCACGUUUGGCUGUUGGGGUGUUGAAGAAUACAUCUUUGCUGGUCAUGGCGUAUCUAGCAUAAUUCUUCCUCGAUCUGUUGGAAUCUCCGGCCAAUGUUGGGCCCCCAGCUAUCACCCUUACUGCAGGCUGCUCGCGCCUCAAGUUCCUGUCACUUUGCUCCCCUUCACUUGUCGAGGCUACCAUUGGGAAGGUCCCAUCUAUAAACUCGUCCAGAUACCGAUUUCUCACCAAAUCUUCGACCUAGGUCUUGAGAUCCCUACAAUCUGCUGUGGCGUGGCCAUGAGUGCCAUGGAACUUACAAUAGCGUCCCCUAUCCCUCCUGCUGGGUAGCUUUGUUAUUGGGGCAGAGAGGUAUAGCAACCCCCGAUCCUUUAUGGUCUCGUACACCUCGUCCAGGGACAUCUUCAAGGAAGUAUACCACCCAUAGUCCUGGUUCUGGUCGAUCAGGUGCACUGCCAUUUCUCUAUUUGCUCCGUUCUGAGUUGGAGGCUGUGGCAGCACUUCUGGUAUGCCCCCUCUACUACCGUGGGAGUGUUGAUGAAGACCACCAUAUGCCGAGUCAUGCCUUCUCCAAGGCUCCCUAGCUGGGGAACGAGGAGGUUGCGCCCUGCUGCGCUGAUACUGUGGUGGCCUCUGAUGAGGCUGGUAAGUAGUUACCCGACCUCCUACUCCACUACAUGAGGCCUGAUGGUCCCUCCUCCUGAUCGGCCCAUUCCCUGGCAAUGUUUUCUUCUCUUUCUUCCCCAACCCUUCUAACUGGUCUGUCUUGAUCCGUGCUGCCUUUUCCUCUUCAAUCUCAAUAUCCCUCUUAGCCUGCUCGUAUGCGGCUGCAUACGUCUGAAUAACUGGGCUUCUCAAAUUGUACCACAGUCUUCAUAUCUUCACCCCUUCUUUCAAUCCCCUUAAUGCCUGAGGAUGGUUGAAGGCUCCCAAAUCAAUGACAGCACGGUGAAACCUCUUGAUGAAUUCCCGGAGUGUUUCCUGUUCCCCCUGCUUCAUGUUUUUCAACUCCAUCAUGUCAUCUUCUGGUGCCAUUGCCCCACGGAACUGUUCUGCAAAUUCCUGGCACAUCUGCUCGAAAGUUUUAAUGCUCCCCCGAGGAAGUUUCCUGUACCACUCUCGUGCACGUCCCUCAAGGGAUAGUGGGAACACCCUGCACCUUUGGGAUUGAGAUAAUCCUUGUACCCCAGUUAUAUCGUUGAAGCGCUCUAUGUGCACUAGCGGAUCUGUUCAUCCCGAAUAUCUAAGGUCUGGGAGGCAAAAAUCUCUCGGAAUAACUGCCCUCAUGAUCUCUGCUGCGAGCGGUGAUUCUCCGUCCAGCAUUAUCCUCCAACCAGGAGCUCUGCUCCUUCCUUGCAUGUCGUCAAUUAUCUGGGCUAGUCUGCGCACUUCCUCCUCCAGCUGCACUGCACGACCAGGGUCACGUGCUGCAACUUGAUCCCGCUCUUGCUCUACAUCAAGCAAGUGUUGCCUCAACUCUGUUUCCUCUGCAUUUUAAUCCGCAAAAUGGUGGAUUGGAUAUGGAUUAGAUCAAAGCUGCAUCUGAUUUGUAGACGUAUGGAUUGGAUUUGAAUUGAAUUUCACCAAUCCGUGGAUUUGAUUCGAUUAAAAAUUUAUAAUCCGUAAAAUCAUGGAUCAGAUAUGGAUUAAUGUCCAGUUUGUAAAAUUUGAUCCGCGAACACCCUUAAUUGUUGUCAUCGUAUAUAUGAUCAUUAUAUCCACAAUGAAUUAACUUUUCUAUUUGAAAUCUUUAUCCUAGUAACCAUGGGCGGCCCCAAUUAAGGCUCAGGAGAGGUUUCAGCCCCUUUUGGGCCUUAAGUUUCUUAAACUAUGUCCUUUUAGCCCUUUUAAUUGUUAGAUCCAAUACUAUUAUUUUAAGGUAGCGUUUAUAGUUUGGAUUAGAGUGAGAAUCUUGAGGAGUGAGAAUUCUAGGAUUGGGAGUGUGGAGUGGGAGUGAGAGUAGAUUGCUUACUUACACUGGAAUGAAAGUAUGGAAUGAAGAUCAUAAUUCAAUUUAUGUGUUUACCUUGUCUUGGAUUGGGAGUAAAUAAUUUUAAAUUAUAAUUUUACCCUUAUUUAAAGAAUUAUAGUUUUUAAUUACAAAACUAAUAAAAAAAUAUUUAAUGAAUAAUAUUUAUUUUAUUAUAUUUGUAAAUUUAUUAUAAUUAUUAAUAUUCUUAAUUAUGAACAAUAAAUUAUUAAUUGUAAUUUUAAUAUAAAAUGAAAUGUUAUUUUAUUUUAUUUAAUAUAAUUAUAUUAAAUUUAUUAUUAUAUAAAAUAAUAAUAUAAUAUUAUUUAGUACAAAAUUAAUAUUUUCUUAGAAUAAACUAUUUAUUAUUAUUAAUAUUAAAUAAAUAUAGUACUAUUAUUUUUAAAAUAAAUACAAUAAUAUUAUAUUUAUUAAUUCUCUAUUAAUAUAAUAAUAUUAUUUUAAAAUAAUUUUAACUUACAAUCAAUGCAAAUUAUUAUUUAGUUAAAUAUAAUAUUAUUAUUCAAAUAAAUAUAAUAAUAUUAUUCAAAUAAAUAUAAUAUUAUUUAUUUUAUUUUAUUAAUUAUAAAAUAUUAAAUUAAAUUAAAUUAAAAAUAAAAGGGUAAAAAAGGAAGAGGUGGGAGUGGGAAUAGGUGGGAGUGGAUUCCCACUCCCACCUCCCCCAAUGGGAGUCCCACUCCCACUCCCCACUCCAAAAAUGAGUGGGGCCCACAGAGUGGGAUUCCCAAUCUCUUCCCAUUUUGAGGAAGUAAAUGCUGGAGUAGGAGGAAUCCACACUCCUCACUCCCACUCCAACAAGUAAACACAGCAUUAAAAUUGAGAAUGAUUAGUAGAGUUCUCAUUCCCAUAGGGAAGGGAGGAAUGAAAGUCUCAUUUCCUAAAAUAAUUAAUUAUCCCCACUUAAAUUUUGAAAUUCUCAUUUUAUAUUUCCUUAUAUAAUUAUUCUUAUUAUGAAAAAUUUAUUGUUGAUAACAAUCAUAAUCAUAAUAACACUAAUAAUAAUAUUGUUGCUACUAAUAUUAAUUAGUAUUAUUAAUCGUUACAAUUAAUACUUAUCAUUAUUAUUGCUGCUGCUACUAAUACUACUAAUAGCAACAUCAGCAGUAGUAUUAAUAGUAACAGUAAUAUUAACAACAACAACAACAACAACAAUUAUUAUUAUUAUUAUUAUUAUCAUCAUCAUCAUCAUCACAAUUAUUAUAAUAAGUAAUGACAAUAAUCAACUAAGGUCAGUUUAGUUAUUUGUAACAAUUCAUUCAAACUCUUAUUUUCAUAAUUAAAAUAAACAAUUUAUUCUGAUUCUCAUUCCUUAUUUCAAUUUCAGCCAAUUUCGAUUCCAACUCAUUUGGAUUAUUAAUUAGUAAAUACACCAUUAUUGUUAAGAAUAAAUCUCAUACUAUCAAUAACCAAUAACCAUAUACAUUGGUCAUUAUUCGAUAUUUAACAUUUUUUUCUCUUUAUUUUUUCUUUUGUUCUAAAGAGAAAUUACAAAGAUCUGCAUUGGGAGAGAAUACCUAUUAACGGUAGUGAGUGGAUGAUUCGUAUCAACCAAAAAAAGAAAAAAAGAAAAAUUGUAAGAGACUUGUUUCUUCGAAGGAAGAGGAAGAAAAAAACGUGAACAUGAAGUUCGAAUAGGGUGUAAGCCGGGAGAUGCUAAUAGCUCUACUCUAAAUUGGAUCACAAAGAAAUCUAUUUGGACGUCGGUCCUAAAACUAAAGAUGGUUUUUCUGGCUUGGAUCCUAAAAUGCAAAACCAGGUGCUGUUUCGGGGUCGGGUUCAUGUGUGUUUACAAGGUAAGCUUGUGGUUGUAUGUCUGUAGUGGGUAAAUCACAAGCACGCACAUUACAAAAAUAAAGGAACAGUAUAUGAUCAUGAAAUAUAUGCCCCACUACCAGGCUCCAAAUGAUCGCCUAAAGACUAUUGAUGUCAAAACUUUUACCAUGCUCAUCAAAUCAAAUCAAAUAUAUAUUUAAGAUGAUUAAUGUAAUGGGAAGUGACUCACCGAAAGUAUUGUUCUUAAUCCAUCUAAUCACAUCCUACUCAAUUGGCCUCUAUUCAUUUUUCAACCCUAUAUGCUAUCGCUAUCCUAUCGUCAUCACUCUCUUUCUAAUUUUUAUUUUUUUUCAUUGACAAAACAUGCUUGUCUGCUGUACCGUACAUCCGCCUUGGCCGUACAGCAGUUAACGCCUGAGGGUGGUUGAAGGCUCCCAAGUCGAGGACAGCACGAUGAAAUCUCUUGAUGAAUUCCCGAAGGGUUUCUUGCUCUCCCUGUUUCAUGCUUUUCAGCUCCAUCAUGUCAUCUUCUGGUGCCAUUGCCCCACGAAAUUGCUCUGCAAACUCUUGGCACAUCUGCUCGAAGGUUUUAAUGCUCCCCCGAGGAAGUUUCCUGUACCACUCUCGUGCACGUCCCUCAAGGGAUAGUGGGAACACCCUGCACCUUUGGGAUUGAGAUAAUCCUUGUACCCCAGUUAUAUCGUUGAAGCGCUCUAUGUGCACUAGCGGAUCUGUUCAUCCCGAAUAUCUAAGGUCUGGGAGGCAAAAAUCUCUCGGAAUAACUGCCCUCAUGAUCUCUGCUGCGAGCGGUGAUUCUCCGUCCAGCAUUAUCCUCCAACCAGGAGCUCUGCUCCUUCCUUGCAUGUCGUCAAUUAUCUGCGCUAGUCUGCGCACUUCCUCCUCCAGCUGCACUGCACGACCAGGGUCACGUGCUGCAACUUGAUCCCGCUCUUGCUCUACAUCAAGCAAGUGUUGCCUCAACUCUGUUUCCUCUGCAUUUUACACCCCAUCGUCCUCGUCAAAAAUCUGUCUUGCCGGGGAUUGCUCUUCCUCUCUACGAAAUUCUCCCCGCAGAGGUAUGUUACCUCUCUCACCACCAAAUCUCCCGGUGGUUUGACUUCUCCUCGUACUAUCAGGACCUGGUGCCACUCCACCAACUCUCAUCCUUUCCUCCUGGGUUACCCUUCGUUCACUCCGCAACUCAUGCAGGAUGGUUGUCAGGGUCUCCAUCUGCUUUUCCAUCCGUUCCAUUCGGUCGAACAUGGCUUUUUCCCGUGCUUCACUGGCUAUCUCCCUCAGAGUCACGGGAUCGUUAAGCCUCAUAUCACCCCCUUGUGCACUACUUCCUCCUGUCUCCAUUACUUUUCACUUGCUUCACUCCUCUUCUUGCUAUCAACAGAAGCUUUUUGAUCAGCUCCCCACAGACGGCGCCAAAAUGUUGAUGCGAGAUUCUGGUUGUCCUCGUUCUACGACCAGGGUCUCUGCUCGAUCAACUUCACCACGAUCAGGAUUUCUCCUCGUAAAGCUUCUUCUCCCGAGGUUCCUGCGUACAUUGAUUUAUGUAUUUGUGUUUAUUAUAUAUAUGUUUAUUUGUGUGCUUUCAUACAUGAAUAACCCCAAUCUUAAUUUGUAAACUUCUCCUGACUUCUUCUUUAUAAAUAGUAAUAUAUCUAUAGAAGUUUCUGCUGUACGGCCAAGGCGGAUGUACGGUACAGCAGCUUAUGCCUCUAAUAGGAGUUCGUCCUCGUGAAUGGCAUAUUCGUGGACGAGCAGAAUAUCCCUGCUCCUGUUCCCCUGCUACCAGGCUCUUACAGGACACACCUGCUCGCAGGACUCUGCCACCAAAUAUCUGCUCAUCACUUCUGGUCUCGCCGAAGUAUUUCCCUCAAACACAUAUGAAGAAGCUUUUAUUUUCUUCAUGGAAGCUUAGAUAUUCACUAUGAAACAAUUAUUUGACUUGUAUGUAUUCAUCUUGCUUUCAUCACUGAAAUUGUUACGUCAUUUAUGGAACAAUGAUUCCCUGAUUUAUUCUCGGAACCUUGCUGCUCCUCAGCAGCAACACUGAUGAAAAAUGCUGGUUGUUUUGGCGCAGGCAGGAAACAACAUCGGCCAUUGUAGGUCUAUUAACUGCUUGGUCGUGCACGCACAAGAGACCUGCAUGAAUGCAUCUCAGUAGUUCAUUUUCGGGGCAUGGUCCAUCCAAUGCUGCUUCCAUUAGCUCGGAAGCUUUACCUUCUUUCCACAGCUGCCAUGCUUCAGCACCAAAAAUGAUCCAAUGACUGUUUCUAAAUCAACAUAUAUAAUUUGGUAGAAUACACUUACGUAUCCCACAAGGUUGAGUGGGCGCUCUUCAUCGUAGCAAUUGUUGUUCUUCCGGCCGCUUACAAUUUCAAGUAGUAAGACUCCAAAGCUAAAUACAUCGGCUUUCAUUGAAACAAUGCCAUUCAUGGCAUACUCUGGAGCCAUAUAUCCACUUGAAUGGGGAAAAACGUCAAUUAUAUAUCCAUCCACAAGCAAAAAUAUGAAAUAAAUUGCAGAUAAAUAUAAAAGUUACUUACUAAGUUCCAACAACUCUGUUCGUAUUCACUUUUGAUUCAUUCAUCUAAAAAUUUCUAGCCAUGCCGAAAUCAAAUAUUUUUGGAUUCAGAUGGUCAUCAAGCAAAAUAUUGCUGGCCUUAAGGUCUCUAUGUAUCACUCUUAAUCUUGAAUAUUUAUGAAGAUAGAUGAGUCCUUGAGCUAUCCCUUCAAUUAUGGUAAUACGUUUACUCCAAUUUAAUUGUUUCUUCUUAACAGAAUCUGUCUCAAAGAGAACAUAUAUAUAUAUAGACACGUACACUUGUUAUAUGUAUAUUAGUGAAAUAGACGUACAUCUGAGUCUCAAAUGUCAAAAAAGACCUACCAAAAAUAAAGAAAUCCAAGCUUUUGUUUGGCAUGAAUUCAUAAACUAAAAUCCUUUCUGCUCCAUGAAGAGAACAUCCCAUAAGCCUUACUAGAUUUGUGUGCUGGAGUUUCCAAUGACUUUAGCUUCAUUCCUGAACUCUACAAUUCCUUGACUUGUCCGUCCUGAGAGUCUCUUCACUGCAAUUACUUGCCCAUCUAGUAACUUUCCCUGCAAUGAUGAUGAUCCCUGAUUUUAACCAUUUAUACAACUAAUAAUAAAAAUGCCAUUAAUAAAAAUUUAAAAAAUUAAUUUACCUUGUAUACCGGACCAAAACCACCCUCCCCCAGCUUGUUUGUCGUUGAGAAAUUGUUUGUAGCAGCAGCAAUUGUUUGAAAAUUGAACCCUUUCAGUUCGUGCUUCAUAUCUUUUGUUCUUCUUUUGCCAUUGAAAGUUGACAGACUAUCUCCAAGCUCAUUUACUUGGUUCUGUUGGUCCAUUCUGCCUUCAGCUAAUUAAGAUACAUAAGAAGGAUUUUUACAGACUAGUGAUUAGCAGCAGAAAAAAUAUCAAGAUUAAGAUAAGAAAAAUGUUUUGAGAAUAUGUGGUUUACAAGUCAGUGUCACUCACCAUGAUAAACAACAAUAGAUAAAGAAAUAAGAAUUAUACAAGUACCUUUUUCCUUGUAUUUUCUCCACGUUAGGCAGCAAAGGAUGCACAUCAGGAGUACUAGAAGAGCUCCUACAAUUACAAAAACUCGCCACUGCUUAUUUUCUGAAAUGUUAAAAAAUAAAAAUAAAUUAAACUCCGCAAAGAUAUUGUUGAGUAGUUUCUGUAAAUAUAUUCAUAAAAUAUAUAUGUAGGCUUACCAGCUUUGGGCUCAAAGAUGUAUAUUGGUCGUACAAAGUUAGGAUCACUAAUCUUCGCAAACUUUGCCCCCUUGCUCCAAAACUCGCAGCCAGUGUUGGCUACACUAUUCGUGGGAGCGCAGGCAAAGCAUGAACAAUUUUCUGCGCAUUUAAACCUUCAUUCAUUUAAGGUCAUAUUGUCACUUUCUCUGAACCUGAAUCCUUGUCCAGACAUGUUACCAUAUUCGACCUUGAAAUCAAAAAUAUCUCUCCCACAGGGAAGCUAACGAGCCUGACCACAUUCUUGGUAAAGACCACAUGGACCAAUGGUGAAGCGGUGACCUGUGAGUCCACCUUCAGGAUCAAUUUUCAACAUUGGAAAUAAAGAGAUCACAUCUUCAUUUACAGAAUAAGAGAAAUAUUGUUCUUUUUCAUCAGAAAUGAAGCUAAAGUUAUAGUCCUGGUUGAUACUCUCCAAGUCAGAGAAGUUGAAGUGCCCAUUUGACAGAAUCCCACUUUUCCAAUAAUCUUUCUGUUCGACCUUGAUCGAAUUUAACCAACCAUGACUCCCCAAGAUUUAUCUAAACACGCUGAUGCUUGACUAAGAAACACUUAAGCAACCACAAAAGAAACACAGAAGAAGCUAAAAACAGCAACCAAAGAAAAAACAGAUUUAAGUGGUUCAGCCUGGAGAUGGCUUACAUCCACUGAAGAACAGAACAACAAUCUUUAUUCAAUCACUAGGAACAAGAUACAAGAUUAUAGAUGAAGUUACAAUAAUCACACACACUUAUUUCUUAUCUCUUAAGGCUAUAUAUACACGCUUAAGAGAGCCCAGAAAUCUCCCCCACCAGUCAGCUGUCCUCUGUAACUAAAACCCAGAUUUUUCCCGCUCUUGCAAUAGAACAUAACAACCUCUGAGCCACGUGUUUGCUUCACGUUAAAUGAAGGCUCCAAAACGGCACUCAGCAAAGUCGUAUUGUUGAGUUAAGCAUGUGAUGGCCACGUGCUUCACUUACUCACAGAUGGAUGAACAAACAGCUUUGUCAUACAGCUUUGAAUGACAUUAACAGACACGUCGUAUUAUGUUCCAAUCACGAACUGACAUAUCGUAUUAAUUUCUGGAAACCAGUUCCAGAGCUCACACUUCAACACUUUCCCUUCUGUUGACUGGAUGAUCAACUGGUUGCCAGUGUUCGAAUCCAAGCGUAUAGUAAAUGACCCUGGGGCAGGAGAGUCGCCACCAAUCCAUGAUUGGAGAAACCAUUUAUGCCCAGUUUGCAAAUUGAUUCCAAUUUUCAUCCCUGGCAAAAGAGUAUCUGUUAGAUAAUCAAAGCUUUGCCAAAGCAUUCGCCCUACAGACCAUCCGAGUUCAUUUCCUGCAGGACAAAAUUGCCUGACUGAAGCAGGGUAGCCCUUGUGACAUUACCCCCUUCUUGAAUCGAGCUUAUAGCAAUAGGAUUUUCCCCCUCGCGUAAAAUUUUCAAAUUUCCAUCUUUGCUAUCUAUCGUAAGACUUGCUGAUUCUUUAUGAAAUAUUGGGGUGUUCCGGUUGGCAACCCACACUGGUGGCUUGUAGUACCCACUCUCUUUCGCCGGCCUGUUGUACCAUAUACCUAGGUACUUGUCUGUACUAAAGCGAGGGCUAAAGAAUCCCAGCAUGAAUUUCCCUGAAGCUGAAACAAGCGGCUCAUCCAAAUCACUAAGCUGUUGGUUUUGCAGUAAUUUGUCCGUCUCUGAAAAACUAGUCUGCAAUGUCAACAGCACGAGGCAUGAAUACAUGAUCAAAAGGUGGCGAUUUCUUUCUUUUCUCUCCAUUUUUUUUCAGAUCAAUUGUGCGAAUGGACGAGUAAUGGAUGAUUUCAGGAUCAAACCAACUAUUACUAAUGAUUUUUAUGAGUGUUUGGUGAAUAAAUUCAACAAAUUUAGCUAUGACUCAUUAAUUUAACGUUGGUGAUAAGUGUGUUUUAUUUAUUUAUAUAUUUCUCAUUCCAAAUUCCAAUCAGAGACCGAGUUAUGACUCGUUCUCCGAUAAUUUUUUCUGCGCUCAAUAUUUUACCAGAGAGCGAUGCAAGAAAUAAAUUCUUUAUAAUAUCAACACGAGAGUGCUUAUAGGGUGUAUGUUUGCAUUGAAACAAAUUUUUUUCAAUUUUCUAAACAAUGUCAGCGCAUUCAAGAUUGUGAAUUUUGACUUUUAUCUUAAAAAAGAAGAAAAACAAUGAGAAUAGGUCAUCUUGAUUUAGUCCGUACAUUAAUAUGGCUAAAAUAUUUGUUAAUUAAAAGAAUGUGUAAUUUUCCCAAGAAACUUCUUUAAAAUAAAAUAAAAAUUACUGGAUAUAUGUUGAUAUGAAAUUUUGGCUAUGUACAUUGUCUGUGUCAAAUGAAACUAAAAGAUAAUUGGAGUUUGUUGAGCUAACUACAAUUACUAAUUUAUGGAACUAACUUAUGUUGUGUUUACUUGGGAGUGAAGAGUGCGGAUUCCUCCCACUCCAGUGUUUACUUCACUAAAUUGAGAAUGGAUUGAGAAUCCCAUUCUGUGGGCCUCACUUAUUUUUAGAGUGGAGAGUUCUUGACCGUGCGUAUGUCAGAGUUUCUGAUGAUGUAAAAACGAAAAAAAUUAAUUAAUAAAAGAAAUUAUGUUUGUAAAUAACAAAAACUUUGCUAAAAAAGUCUGGCUCCCUUUUAUAUUAACCCAAACUAUUGCAAAUUUACUAAAAGAGAUAAAUCUGAAAUACUAUUUUAUAAUAAAAUUUCUCCUAAUUUAAAUAAGCAGCACGUAAAUUUGAUAUCUAAAAAAAAAUAUAAAAAUCUUAAAAGUAAUAAAAAAAUAAAUUAAAAUAAAAAAUAAACAAGAAAGAAGCAUAAUUUUAGCUCAACCACGGGACAAAAUAACAUAAGCAGUUUUAUUUUGCAUGUAACCAUCAUACAUCAAUUUCAUUGGGAGGCUUGUGAUGUGGGUUCUGGGUGUGCAACUGCACACACUAUAUUAUGUUCGGCUAAAGAAUUAACAUGUAAUAAUAAGUGUAUAUUUAUUUUAAUAAUAAAUAAAACAUAUUUAUAUUAAAGUUUAAAUAAAACGGGUAAAAUUAUUUCCAAAAAUUAAACUCAAAUUCAAUUCAUUAUUAAACUACAUUUAUCAUAUAAUUUAUUAACGACCCACUAUGACAAAUUUAAACUUAGCAACUAUUUUCGUCAUGUUGUUUGUCCCGUUAAAUACAGAAGAGCUAAUAUUAACAUACGCUAUAAAAUUAAUUUGACAAUCAGUGAUCACAACAUAAAUCCCUCUUGUUCAACAAUUUUUUUUAAUUACCCUCGUGUUUCAAAAUCAAAGCCUAGAUAUAACGAUUAACGUUUUUUUAAUUCCCUUGAAUUUUUUUUAUUAAAACCAUUACAACAUGUAUCAAUUUUGUGAUGGGGCGAAGAUAGCGGAAGCGGAAUUGAUAGGGUAGGAAAACUAGAUAUGUAUCGUUCUUGUACCGGACCAAGCCAACGAGAUUAAUUUACGGGCGGAAUUGAUAGGGUAGGAAAACUAGAUAUGUAUCGUUCUUGUACUGGACCAAGCCAACGAGAUUAAUUUACGCUCUAAUUGAAGCAUGAUUAGAUGUCGUUCUAAUCUAAAGACUCAAUGAGUUUUUUAAUAACACGUAAAACGAGAUUAGAUGACGUUUUAAUCUAAAGAACUCUAUUAGAGAGAUUUUGAUAGGAAUUAUAAAAGAGAGAUUUUAUUAAAUAACUGAAUUUGAGUUAUGAAAAUAAUAACAAUGUCUCUUUAUUUGUAAUCGAGUAAACCCACUUCCCUAAAAUAACUUAAAAAAUGAAACUAAAUUACAAUUAUAAUGGAAAUAAAAUACUAAAUCACAUACCAUAAUAGACUCUAAUUAAAAUAGAAAGUACUAAAAUAAUAAAAAUCCUAAAAUCCUAAAUUAACCUGAAUUAACGACCUACAUCAUUUUGGUUGUCAUAAAAUUAUCAAUAGUGAUCCACUUACGAAGCCUCGACAUAAAGAUUGAGUUAAGACACUAUGAUGGGAUAAUAAAUUCAAUUUUCACUUAAUUCAUGGAAAUUAUAGAUACAUGCUUUAUACAUUUACACUUUGUAAGAAUAAUAUUUUUACAGUUUUAUUUGACCAGCCAUCUGAAUUUUGGAUCCUAAGAUUUAAAAAAUUGAAAGACCUUUUGAAAAAUAUAAACAUAAAAUAAUAAUAAUGAUAAUAGCAACAACAAUAUUUUUGCACGUCUUUGUCUACGAGUCCAUUUUGCCAACCCGCUAUAUUUCAUUUCGGGCUCGGAUGGACUGUUCUGGCCCACUUUGACCCCUUCGACCCAAUCGAUAACAAAAGCAAUCAAUGUAAAGACGAAAAUAACCUUAAUGGCCCAAUGCACUGACAUGAAUUUUCGAUAUGUGGUGUGGAUUACUAGAAGAAGAAUUGUCGGUUAGCCCAAUGUUGCGGGUACUCUUUCAAAGCCCAGACAAAACACUUGGGUUUCUCAGCUCUAUGCAACCUGCAGCGAGAAGAAGAGUAGGUCCAAAGAAAUAGUAGCUUCGUGAUCACGUAAAAUUAAGUUCAACUCUUCUCAAGAAGUCUCAACGUAUCAACAGUGCCGACCAGCCAGCAAUUAAUUAAGCACCCAGGCUCUCUCACUGUCUCUCUUUCUCUUUGAUGUCAAGAUUAAGCCUGGCUAGUUUUCGGUAUACUUGAUUUAUAAAGGAAAAUGGAAUGUAAUAAUAAAUGUAAGAUCAAAAUUUUCAGUGAUGCACGAAGUGCACUAUGAUAUUAUUUUAAGUGGUUUUUCUAGUGGUGUUUAGAAGAUUUUCAAGGUUUAAAUAGCUAAGCUAGCCUUAGUAUAAGGAUCAAAUCAUAUAUUUGAUAUAAUAUCAUUUUUUUUCUGUUUCAUUAAUCUUAUUUUAUGUUACGGUGUAUACAAAAUUUAAACGUAAUUUCCUGGAGGAUGCUCAGACGGCAGUUUUGUCAGCUAUUUAAUAAACUAAAGAAGCACAUCUUUUUCCCGAGACAAUGACUGCCGCGCGAGGAUGAAAUUUUAUAAUUUUUAUUAAAUUCUUUGAAAUUUGUCAGUUUUGUUUUUUGUUUUGUUUUUUUUUCCCCAAGGAAUCUUCUAUUUAAAGUUUUGAUUGGGAAAAAGAAGUGAUCCCAUCACCUACUAAAUAACAAGAAGAGGAGACAAAGAAAAUAUGGAGGCGUUGGUUUGUUCCACGUAUCUUCUUUGUCAUAAUAUCAUUUUUUUGUUUAAUUAAAGAGUCUAAAUAUUUUUACUUUUUGGCAAGACACUGUUGAUCAGACCUGCCGUUGGCAUAUAAAAGAAGAAAAAUAAUUAAUGUAAUUUCUCCAAAUUUUCAGGGACUUAAAUCAUGAAUAUUGAAAGAGGCUCUUCAACGGUCACAAUUUCUUUCUCUUGUUGGCCGCAUGAUGUGUUCGUCAGCUUUAGAGGCGAAGAUGUCCGCAAGAACUUCAUAGAUCAUCUCCAAGCUGCUUUGAAUCAAAAUGGAAUUAACGUUUUCAAGGAUGACAGAGAACUUGAGAGAGGAAAAGAUUUGUGUAGUUAAAUUAAAGUUAGUGUGAACGUAGUAGCAAAUCAGUUUCAUAUUAUGUAUAAAAUUGAAUAAGUAACAUGUCAUUGUUAUGUCAGAAACAAUUGGAAUGAGAAAAUUCAAACCCAACCCAAUAAAUAUUGGUCUGGAUUGGGUUGCAUUGUGAUUUGAGUGUUUAAAAAUUAUUUAAUUUCUUCUGCUGUUUUUUUCCCAAUCAUUAAUAAUCAAUUUAACACAUCUCAGCCACAGACGAGUUUAGUCAUUAGAUCUAUUGGUUGAAUAAGAAAAGAACAAAAUUUGGGAUACCUUGCAACUGUUGCAAGGUGGCUAGACCCUAAUAUAUAUAUAUAUAUAUAUAUAUAUAUANNNNNNNNNNNNNNNNNNNNNNNNNNNNNNNNNNNNNNNNNNNNNNNNNNNNNNNNNNNNNNNNNNNNNNNNNNNNNNNNNNNNNNNNNNNNNNNNNNNNNNNNNNNNNNNNNNNNNNNNNNNNNNNNNNNNNNNNNNNNNNNNNNNNNNNNNNNNNNNNNNNNNNNNNNNNNNNNNNNNNNNNNNNNNNNNNNNNNNNNNNNNNNNNNNNNNNNNNNNNNNNNNNNNNNNNNNNNNNNNNNNNNNNNNNNNNNNNNNNNNNNNNNNNNNNNNNNNNNNNNNNNNNNNNNNNNNNNNNNNNNNNNNNNNNNNNNNNNNNNNNNNNNNNNNNNNNNNNNNNNNNNNNNNNNNNNNNNNNNNNNNNNNNNNNNNNNNNNNNNNNNNNNNNNNNNNNNNNNNNNNNNNNNNNNNNNNNNNNNNNNNNNNNNNNNNNNNNNNNNNNNNNNNNNNNNNNNNNNNNNNNNNNNNNNNNNNNNNNNNNNNNNNNNNNNNNNNNNNNNNNNNNNNNNNNNNNNNNNNNNNNNNNNNNNNNNNNNNNNNNNNNNNNNNNNNNNNNNNNNNNNNNNNNNNNNNNNNNNNNNNNNNNNNNNNNNNNNNNNNNNNNNNNNNNNNNNNNNNNNNNNNNNNNNNNNNNNNNNNNNNNNNNNNNNNNNNNNNNNNNNNNNNNNNNNNNNNNNNNNNNNNNNNNNNNNNNNNNNNNNNNNNNNNNNNNNNNNNNNNNNNNNNNNNNNNNNNCUGUACCGUACAUCCGCCUUGGCCGUACAGCAGAUUUCUGUUGCGUGGAUAAUUUCCUGGGAGAUGGUCCAACAGCAGCAAUAAUUUUAUAUUUUUUUAAUUGAUCAUAUCAACAACAGCAGCAAUAUUAUUUAGUAUCAUCAUAUCAUAUGUUUGAUCUUACCUCAUUUAUUUUUAUAUCUUUAUUAUUUCAUUUGUCUUAUUUUAGUUUCUUAGUAUUUAUUGUAAUAUAAAUAAUUCAUAUAUAUUUGCAUUUCUGUUUCAUAUAUACUUUCCUGGAAGAUAUUCCAAAAGCAGAUUAAACAAACAAAAUGAAUUGUUGCAUCACCUACUAAAGAACAAGAAAAAGAGACGGAGAACAAAUAAAUGAAUAAAUACAAUAAAGAAAAUGAUCAGUGGAGAGUUGGUUUAUUCCAUGUACCUUCUCAGUCAAUACUACUUUUUGUUUCAUUAAAUAGUCUAAAUUAUCAUUAUCAUUUCACUAUAAUUAAAGAAAAGUUUCAGUGUUUAAAUUAUUGAACCUUUCGUUAUCUUUGACUAUGUCGUUGAUUCCAUUCUCCACCGUAGACCAUUGUCGCUCUUUAGUUUGAGUAGACUUACUGUCGACAAGCGAAAAUGGAGGAGUUAAUUAGAAAGCAUGAAAUCUUCUCCUUGAUUUCUUUGAAACAAACUUAAUUGGAAUCCAAAUUUAAAAAAGUUAGCAAAGUUACAAAAUUGCUAUGGUACUUUACAAAGUUCAUAAUUUCCAAGCAUUGACAGAUAAUGCAUUAACAAAUACAGAAAUGGUCAAAUUACAAGCCUCACAAGUUGCUACACUAACAAGUUUUAUCUGAGUUGAUUCUCCUUGACCACUGCUUGUAUAAAAAAUCUGAAUAAUAGCUUACAACUUCUGAGGCUUGUAACCAAAGACGCCUAAAACCAAUUAUUUCUAAGAGAAGUGGACAGCUUUAAACCUUUCUUCCCAAGCUUUAAGCAACUUCAAAGAAAAAUGUCAAGCCUUCAAGCUUUACUUUCCAAUCUUUACUUAUUGCAAUGAGAAAAUACUACAAUUUAAAAAAGAAAAAAAAUUGGAAGAUUGUAGUGGAAUUAUUCCAAAAUAAUAUUUUAUUCAUUUUUCCUUAAAAAAAUGCAAUUACAUUUGAAGAUGCCCUUAAUAAGAUAUAUAAGGAAAUCCUUGCUUUUGUAGUGUAGAUUAUUGAAGCUAGCUUUUCUCAAAAUAUUUCUCUUGCUUCCUAUAAUACACUCAAAAGCUGUAAGUUUUUUUUUUCUUAUACAUAUUUCUCUUUCAUUUUCAGAAUUAAUUCCCAUAUCUUGACGUUUAAUUAAUUAUUAAUAUCAACCAUUGGAUUUCAUUCCUAUUUAAAGGAAUCCAAUGGUUUCAACAUGGGUAAUGGGCAGAGUGUCAAAGCUGCUUAAUCAGUCAUUUACAAUCUUAAUUACAAUAAUUUAACCGUAAAAUUUAUCAAAUACAUGCAAUUACUUUUAAAAUUCAUAAAACUUUUGAAAAUAAAUUUAUCAAGCGUUUAAUUAAUUAUAUUUACAGAUAGUUAUUUAUAUAAUACAGUUAAUGACAAUUAUUUUAGAACUACAACAUUAUUAAAUUAAUCCAACAUCUCCUGAGGACUCAGUUAAAAUUUUACAAAUAGAAGGUUUCCAUUCCCAUAGAUUGCCGGCAAUUUAACUUAUUUUGAUCAAUUAUUGAUAUCAACCGUUGGAUUUCAUUCCAUUCUAAUGAAAUCCAACGGUUUCAACAUGGCUAGUGGGUGGAGUGGUGAAGACGCGUAAUCAAUUAAAAAGCCAGAUAACUUUCGUUUAGAUUCCUUGAAGCUUCCAGGAAGUUUGAUGGUAACUUCAUCAUGAGAGUUGCUUUUGUCAAUAUUUAAUAAUUAUUAAGAAAGUCAAUCGUUGACGAAGACUUGCUUUUGGAAAUACAUACAUUAGCUGAUUGCUUAAUUUCUUUUUUCAGCGAAAGAGUAUAUUUGCAUUGAUUAAAUUUUUUGAAUCAAUAUACCGCAUUGGAGUUCAUUUAACCAGCUUCCUGCUAUACACUCAAAAGUCGUAAGUUCGAUCUUAUACAUCUCUCUCUUUUAUUUUCAGAAUUAAUUUGUAUAUCUUGAUGUUUAAAAAGUGCAAAAAAAAAAUAAAUAAAAAAUAGAAAGAAAUCUUUGUAUGUUAAUUUUGUGCAAACUUUUUGCCUUUUCUUGGUUAUUAGAUGCUCUAAUCGAGAUUUGCUUAAGUAGAAAUUGGCGUGCACACUCUCCGAUCAGCACGUGCAAAAAAAUUUCUAUUACGUUUUGAAAUUUAUCAUGUUUAAAUAAGAGUAAAUGAGAGGCUGAUGGAUUACUGUUUAGUUUGUUUAAUAGAAUAAAAUCAUUAGUUUUGAAAUCAGAACCAUUCUCAAGUUUAAAAACUUUUUAAGUUAGUAAACUCUGACUUUAAUUAUAUUUAAUCAAAUUCGCUCACACCAUCAAGGUUAUUUAUUAAAAAAAAAAAUUGCGAUUUAUAUAUGUUUGUCCUCUUUUAGGCGGUUGAAAAAGAAAAUGGAAAUUUUUUAGUUUUUGUCAGUUUUUCUAUCAAAAUUUCUUUGCAUAUACAUAAUCUCGAUGAUUAGUUAUAACCUUAAUAUUUUUAAUUCUUUCUAGUGAUAUUAAUUUAACUCUAAUAAUUUCUUUUAACAUGAACCUAUUGUAAAUUAGUCUGUUAUAAAACAAACACAAGACCUAGGUCAAAGGACAUCAUGAAAUUAGAAAUUCCUUGGGCAUGGAUUAAGCAAUAUCUUGUAAUUAAAUGUUUACUUUUAUUAUAUAUAAGAACUAUUUCAAUAUUUUUAUUUUUAUUAAAAUAAUAGGUUUUGUCAUAAAUUUAAAUUAUAUAUUUAAGUACAAUAUUAAUAUGAAUUAUUAAUAGGUCUAAAUAAUAUGAAUUUUAUAAUAAAUAAGUAUAUAUUAUGUUAUUUUCAUUAUGUAAAAGAAUUAUAAUCAAUUUCAUUUUAUUUUUUAAGUAAGCUUACUAUUAACUUAAAUAAAAAGUACUACUUUAUUAAUAAACUUAUAGUUUUAUUAAUAAAGUGAAAUAAUAAAUUUAAUAUAAAGAAUAGUAUAAAGAAUUUAAAUAAACAAUACCUUGCAUAAUACACUAAACAUUAAUGUUAUUCAAUACAGCUUAAGUAACAUAAUGUGGUGCACUAAACACGCCAUAAGUUUUUACAAAUUUGAUGCUUGAGAUAUUACAUCUUCAUUUUUGCGGCGCACAUUAUUUUGGAUGAAUCUUGUUAUUUGCAUAGUAUUGUUGUUAGGAUUUCACUUGAUUUAUUCUAAAUUUUCAGGGACAAAUUAAUAGAAAAUGGCGUCUACGAGCAUCCAAAAUGUCUCUCAGGGGAAAUAUGAUGUCUUCUUAAGCUUUAGAGGAGAAGACACUCGUAAAAGCUUCACGGAUCAUCUCUCUGCGGCUUUGAAAAAUAAAGGCAUUUAUGUAUUUAGGGAUGACAAAGAACUUCAGAAAGGAGGAUCCAUUUCACCUGGACUCCUUAAAGCAAUUGAAGAAUCAAGAAUUUCAGUUAUUGUUCUCUCAAAAAACUAUGCUUCUUCCACUUGGUGCUUGGAUGAACUUGUUAAGAUCGUUGAAUGCAAAAAUAGAGAAGAUCAAUUUUUUCCAAUUUUCUAUGAUGUGGAACCGACUGUGGUGAGAAAACAGACAGCAAGUUUUGGAGAAGCUUUUGCUAAACACGAAAAAGUUUUUAGGAAUAAUGUAGAAAAGGUGCAAAAGUGGAGAGACGCUUUAAAAGUGGUGGCUAAUAAAUCUGGCUGGGAAUUGAAGGACAGGUAAUCAUUCUUAUUCUCUAUUAUUAAUUCCUUUUUCUUUUUUUCUUUUUUUGGUGUUGCAUGAUUCGUAACUACGAAACAGAUUUUAGUAUUCAUGAUUCAACACUAUUUUCAAUUACAAUAGUAGUACUAUUAAUGAAUAAUAUUUGCAAACGAAGAUUUAAAUUAUUGUAUUUUGAACUUUAGAAGACUAUAUAAUAUGUUGUGAUGCUUUGUGCUCUAUCAAUCAAAUUUAAAAAAUAAAAAGGAAACUUUAUUCUUUGAUUGACUCUUUGCUAAAUACUAAUAAGAGCAAUGAACAGCAAUGAUAUAUCAAUAUCAUUACGUAUUUAGCUAAUCUAAUUAAUUUUAUGUGUGUAAUAAUGAUCUUUCUAAUUAAUUUUUUAUGUGUGUAAUAAUGAUCUUAUCAAAAACUUAUCUAAAAUCUCUUUCAAUGAAAUUUAUCAUGUUAUAGAAAGAAAUAAUAUAUCAAUAAUGAAUGAAAAAAACAGCAGAAGAAAUUAAAUAAUUUUUGAACCCUCAAAUCCCAAUGCAACCCAAUCCAUACGAAUUUUAUUGUGUCGAGUUUAAAUUUUCUCAUUCCAAUUGUUUUUAACUUAACUAUGGCAGGUUACUUAAUUAUAUGGCUUCAAUUCAAUGAAAUGAUACAGGGUCUACUGACGUUCGUAUGAUAGGGAUAUGGGGUAUGGGAGGUCUAGGAAAGACAACUCUUGCAAGAGUUGUUUAUGACUUGAUCUCUCACGAAUUUUAUGCGAGUAGUUUCCUUGCUGAUGUUAGAGAAAGAUCUGACAAAGAAGGCAGUGUAAUCUCUUUACAAAAGCAACUCCUUUCCAAUUUACUGAAUCUUGGAGAUAUUAACUUAUGGCAUGUAGAUGAUGGUAUUAACAUAAUUGGAAGUAGGCUGCGACAGCAAAAGGUUCUUCUUGUAAUCGAUGAUGUAGCUGAUGUUGAACAACUACAAAGUUUAGCUGGAAAGCGUGAUUGGUUUGGUCUAGGCAGCAGGAUUCUAAUAACAACGAGAGAUAAACAGUUGUUAGUGGCACAUGAAGUGGAUGAAGAGCAUAUUCUUAACCUUGAUGUACUAAAUGACAAUGAAGCUCUUCAACUCUUUAGUAUGAAAGCUUUUAAAACCCAUCAGCCAGUGGGAGAAUAUGUGGAGCUAUCUAAACGUGUUCUGAGGUAUGCCAGUGGUCUUCCAUUAGCUCUAAAAGUUUUGG
RNAcentral lists this long non-coding RNA (71883 nucleotides) under Citrus sinensis (sweet orange). RNAcentral describes it as "long non-coding RNA (CSIN_LNC000413)". Lineage: Eukaryota; Viridiplantae; Streptophyta; Magnoliopsida; Sapindales; Rutaceae. The record is from RNAcentral.